GUGUAUCCGGUUGGACCCAUACUCAACACCCAAAUGGGAUCUGGUGGGGGUCAACAAGAUGCUAGUGUCAUCAUGAGCUGGCUUGACGAUCAGCCUCCAUCGUCAGUUGUUUUCCUGUGCUUCGGGAGCAGGGGAACCUUUGGUGCGGAUCAGAUCAAGGAGAUAGCGUAUGGGCUAGAGCACAGUGGGCAUCGCUUCUUGUGGUCCCUUCGCCAACCUCCCCCAAAGGGUAAAAUGGAUUUUCCAAGCGACUAUGAAAGUAUUGAGGAAGUUCUACCAGAAGGAUUUUUACAUCGGACAGCUAGAAUUGGAAAGGUGAUUGGAUGGGCUCCACAAGCAGCGGUUUUAUCCCACUCAGCUGUUGGAGGAUUUGUAUCUCAUUGUGGAUGGAAUUCUUUGCUAGAAAGCGUAUGGUAUGGCGUUCCAGUAGCCACUUGGCCAAUAUAUGCAGAACAACAAAUCAACGCAUUUCAAAUGGUGAAAGAUUUGGGGUUGGCGAUAGAAAUUAAAAUAGAUUACAAUAAGGAUAGUGAUUAUGUUGUAAGUGCUCAUGAGAUUGAAAAUGGAUUAAGGAACCUAAUGAAUAUUGAUAGUGAAGUGAGGCAGAAGAGGAAAGAAAUGCAAAAAAUAAGUAGAAGAGUCAUGAUAGAUGGUGGGUCCUCGCACUUUUCUUUAGGCCAUUUUAUUGAAGACAUGGUGGCUAACAUUCCAUGCAAGCAACAAAGACGUGAUACCUAAUGUAUGAAUUAGUUUAUACUAAUAUGAAAUAAAAAGGUGCAUUGUAGGCUCUAAUAAAUUAAUUUAUCAUCUCCUUUAUUUGAAUGCUCAAAUAUUUCUUUGAUGAUGUCAAGAAAUUUGACCUUUCAAACUAGGAAAUGUGUUCUUUCUUUAUUAUUUAGUGAAACAAGUUUACAAGGGCAUGAAUUUAGUUAUAUGUGGAUCUCAUUGAUCAAUGAAUACACAAUUGAGCAUUUUCCUGUAGGAAGCUGGACUAGUGAUAAAAUCAACUAUAUAACUAAAAAUCCACAAACCCUAUUGAAUUUGGUUUGAUGGGGAUGAAUAGAUAUAAGAAUUUUUAUAAGAAUUUGUUCAAUUGGAUCACUAUUAAUUUGAUGCUUGCCUUCAGAUUAGAGACAACUAUCCACUUGAGAAAUUUAAUUAAUUUCUGGGCAGUGUUUAUCUUCUUUUCUACAAGCAUGAUGCUCGAAGAGCAAAUUAAUGUUCUCAAACUAUUUGGUGUGUUGGUAUGGAUUUAAGAAACUAACGUCUCAUCAAUGCAUAUCAAGGCAUCUACGCAUGUGAGAGAUCAAUAGAUUCAAAAUGAUUCUAAUUGGAGCAUUUUUGAAUUAAGAGGUAUUACCUUGAGUCUUGUGAGAAAGAAAAUAAGUAGAUGAAGAAGGUAAUUGCUAUUAUGGAGAUGAGGAUUUAGAAUUAUAAGUUCUUUAGAUUUGAUUAUGGAGAGAGUUGGCAGAAUAUAAUUUUUUUUUAAUAAGAAAAUUACUAAGAGAUGUGAAAAAAGUCUUUAAAAAAAUGAUAAUAAUAAUUUAAACACGAAAAUGAUUAUGUAUAUAGUAUUGAAUUAUCAAUUUGUCCUUUCCUUUCUUUUAAUGAAAAAUAAAUACAUAUGAAAAUUGAUAAUUGAAGUUGUUAUUCAAUCAUCUAAAGAUUAGCUUAGAUGGAAUAUAUUGUAAUGAUCUACUCCUAAUCGUGUAAAUAUUGUUUACUUUGAGUCCAACCUGUCAUAUCCCAUAAGAUUAGGGUGGUCAAACAAAUUUUCACACUGGGGGAUCAAGGAUCAACUUUGAUACUAUUUGUAAUGGCUCACUCCCAAUAGUAUAGAUAUUAUCUUCCCAAUUGUAAAUAUUGUUCAUUCUAAACCCAAAAAUCUUUCAUAGCUUUAAAACGUGUGUAUAAAAUUAAAAAGAGCUUAUACAUAUAUGAUGUUAGGAUUUUUUUUCCUCAUUUGAUGAAAGAUACCACAUGUAUUCCCUCAAAAUACUGAUUCCAAUUAGAUGUGAAGAGGAACCAUUUAGUAUUAGAAAGAAAAGAAAUACAUAGAUGGUAAUAUGUAUUAUUUCUAUUCCUUAGUCUUGUUGCAAGGACACUCAUUGCUAUAUAAUAUAUAUAUAUAUUUUUAAAGAACUUUGAAAAUUAAUUUUUUUAUAUACAAAAUUAACUUAUAAUUAAAAUAAAAUCAUUUAUAAUACAAAUAUUGGAUUGAUAAAUAAUUAUAUAAGUAAUUAUCUUAAUUUAGCUCAAUUUUAAGUCUUAAAAUUUCACUUAAAUCUUACAUGGAUAAAUAGAAAUAAUAACUUCUAUACAAAAAAUAAAAAAUUUUAUAGAAAAAAUUGAAAGCUUAUCUUAUUUUCUUUCUAUAACUAAAAUUCGAGUGAACAAAAAAUUGUUAACUUCAAAUUUUUAAGCUAUUUUAAGAUAAAUCUCUAUUAUUUACCUAAGAACUCAUACUAUCUUUAAUUUUCAAAAAUAAAAAUAUAUCCAAAUGUGCACUUAAAUUUUGUAGAAAAUGAACCUUGAGCAAACUCUCCUAAUCACAUUAUUUUAUCAUUUACCCAAAGAUUUAUGCUUAUCAAAAAUCAAUCAACCACAUUGAGAAUUGAUAAUUUUAGGUAACUAGUAACAUGUGCAAUCAGAAGAAAGUCAAUGAAGAGUACAUAUAUUCACAUCUCUUCUUUUUUGAAUUCCUCAAAAGACAUCAUCCAUGAGCUCAUUAAUCACACCCAUAAAACAAUGAACAAGAAGAGACCAAGAAAAGAUCAUAUUGUAGGCACAUCGCCAAAAGGUUUGUUGAAAUAACUUAUACCUUCACCCUCUGAGCUCUAGAAUAGUGUCGAAAAGAACAACCUAAUCUUUCUUUCCUUUGUCUGAACUACUUUUUACCAAGAUCCCAAAGCCUUAGAUGCUAUUUAUAUUUGGACUUAGAGAAUACUUAAAAAUAAAUAGCCCAACUAUGGGCUUAGAGAACUUUUCAAGGGUUGGAUAAACAUAGCUCAACAAAAUUAGCUUAAAAUAACCUUUAAAAUUACCCAUUCAAGAUCUAUCAAAUCAAAAGAAAAAUAAAAUAAAACUUUUGGAAACCUUUUCUAUGCAAAAAUUUCAAAAAAAAAAUUUAUAUAAAAAAUUGAAAACUUAUCUUAUAUGCUUUCUAUAACUGAAAUUUUGAGUGAACAAAAAACUAUAAAAUUCAAAAUUUUCAUCUAUUUUUCAUAACAUUUAUUUUUAAGAUAAAUCUCUAUUAUUUAUAUAACAACUUAUACUAUCUUUUAUUUUCAAAAAUAAAAAAUUUAUUCAAAGUCCACUUAAAUUUUGUUGAUAAUGAACCUUGAGCAAACUCUCAUGGUCACAUUAUUUAAUCAUUUACCUAAAGAUUUAUGCUUAAAGAAAAUCAAUCAACCACAUUCAGAAUUGAUAAUUCUAAGUAGUUAGUAACACAUGGAGUCACAAUUCCAUACAACAAAUACAUAUAUAUAGAAAAAUUUGAAAUCUUAUCUUAUAUGCUCUUUAUAACUAAAAUUUCGAGUGAACCAAAAACUUUUAAAUUCAAAAUUUUAAGCUAUUUAAAAGUUGUUUAUGUUUAAGAUAAAUCUCUAUUAUUCAUAUAAGAACUCAUACUAUCUUUUUAUUUUCAAAAAUAAAAAAUGUUUUGAAAGUCCACUUAAAUUUUGUAGAAAAUGAACCUUGAACAAACUCUCUCAAUCAAAUAAUUUUAUCAUUUACCUAAAGAUUUAUACUUAUAAAAAACCAAUUAACCGCAUCGAGAAAUGAUAAUUCUGGAUAGCUAGUAACACAUGGAAUCACAAGAAAGAUGAUGAAGAUUAUGUAUAUUAAUUCUGGUCUCUUCUUUUCUGAAUUCCUCACAAAUCACAUCAAUUGGUCUUUGAUGUUGUCUAUGAGCUCACUUGUCACACCCACAAAACAAUAAAUAGGAAGAGAUCAAGAAGAUCAUACCACAAGGGCUUCCCUAAAAGAUUGAUGAAAGAACUUAUACCUUCACCCUUUGAGCUCCAAAACAAUGCCCAAAAACCAACCUAAUCUUUUUUUUUUUUUCCCUUUUUCUGAACUAUUUCAUCAAGAUCUAAAUGCCCUAGAUGUUAUUUAUAUUUGAACAUAGAGAAUACCUAAAAUAAUCAAUCCAACGCAUGGGCGGGAUAAACUUAGCUCAAUAAAUUUGGCUUAAUAUUAACCCUUAAAGUUACCCAUUCAUGGUCUAUUAAUGAAUAUAAAUAAAAAUUUUUGAAAACCUUUUCAAUACAAAAAAUAAAAGAUUUGAUAACAAAAAUUGAAAACUCACCUUAUAUGCUUUCUAUAACUGAAAUUUCGAGUGAACAAAAAACUAUUAACUUCAACUUUUUCAGCUAUUUUUAAAAUUAUUUAUUUUUAAUAUAAAUCUCUAUUAUUUAUAUAAACACUCGUACUAUCUUUUAUUUUCAAAAAUAAAAAAUAUACUCAAAGUCCAAUUAAAUUUUGUAGAAAAUGAAUCUUGAGCAAACUCUCUCGACCACGUUAUUUUAUUAUUUACCUAAACAAUGCUUAUCGAAAAUCAAUCAACCAUGUUGAGAAUUGAUAAUUUUGGGUAACUAGUAACACAUGGAAUCACAAGAAAGUUGAUGAAGUUGUUUUCCUCUCUAAAUUCCUAAAAGCUCACAUGCCACUCAUCCUUGAUGUUGUCAGCUCACUCAUCACACCCAUAAAACAAUAAACAAGAAGAGAUAAGGAAGAUCAUACCGCAACGACUUUCACAAAAGGUUGAUGAAAUAACUUAUACCUUCACCCUUUGAGCUCUAGAAUAGUGUCAAAAAAACAACCUAAUCUUUCUUUCCUUUUUCUAAACUACAUUUUACCAAGAUCCAAAAGCCCUAAAUUUUAUUUAUAUUUGGACAAAGAGAAUACCUAAAAUAAAUAGCCUAAUGCAUGGGCUUAGAAAUAAACUAAGCUCAACAAAUUUAGCAUAUAAUAUUAACCUUAAAAUUACCCAUUCAAGGUUUAUUAAAUCAAAAUCAAAAUAAUUUUUCAAAAACCUUUUCUAUACAAAAAAUGAAAAAUUUGAUAGAAAAUUUUCAAAGCCUAUGUUAUAUGCUUUCUAUAACUAAAGUUUCAUGUGAACAAAAAAUUGCUAACUUCAAAAUUUUAAGCUAUUUUAAAAAUUAUUUAAUUUUAAAAUAAAUCACUAUUAUUUCUAUAAGAACACAUAUUAUCUUUUAUUUUCAAAAAUGAAAAAUGUAAAGUCCACUUAAAUUUUGUAGAAAAUGAACCUUGAGCAAACUUUCCUGGUGACAUUAUUUUAUCAUUUACUUACAAAUUUAUGUUUACCAAAAAUCAAUCAACGAACUGAGAAUUGAUAAUUCUAGGUAGCUAGCAAAAUAUAGAAUCACAAGACAACUGAUGAAGAGUAUGUAUAUUCUGGUCUCUACCUCUCUGAAUUCCUCAAAGCACACAUAUCACUUAUCAAAGAUGUAAUCCAUGAACACGCUCGUCACACCCAUAAAACAAUCAAUAAGAAGAGAUCAUACUAUAAGGGUUUCCCCAAAAGAUUGGUGAAAGAACUUAUACCUUAACCCAUGUAGCUCUAAAGCAAUGCCUAGAAAACAACCUAAUUUUUCUUUCUUUUUUUUGCACCCAUUUUCACCAAGAUCCCAAAGGCCUAGGUGUUAUUUAUAUUUAGACUUACAGAAUUCCUAAAACAAAUUAAUAGGCAAAUGCAUGGGAGGAGAAAACUUUUCAUGGGCAGGAUAAACUUAGCUCAACAAAUUAAGCUUAAUAUUAAACCUUAAAAUUACCAUUCAACAUGUAUUACAUAAAAAUAAAAUAAAAUUUUUCGAAAACCAUUUGUAUACAAAAAAUAAGAAAAUUUAGAGAAAAGAUUGAAAACUUAUAUUAUAUGCUCUUUAUAACUAAAAUUUCAAGUGAACUAAAAAAUGUCAACUUCAAAUUUUUAAGCUAUUUUUAAAAUUAGUUAUUUUUAAGGCAAAUCUCUAUUAUUUAUAUAAGGACUAAUACUAUCUUUUAUUUUUAAAAAUAAAAUAUGUAUUUAGAGUUCAUUAAAAUUUUGUAGAAAAUGAAUCUUCAGGGAAACUCUCCUGGUCACAUUAUUUUAUCAUUUUCCUAAAGAUUUAAGCUUAUUGAAAAUCAAUUAACCACACUGAGAAUUAAUAAUUCUGGGUAGCUAGUAACACAUGGAAUCACAAGAAAGCUAAUGGAGACUAUGUAUAUUCUGGUAUCUUACUUUUUGAAUUCCUCAAAUCUCGCACACUAAUCAUCAAAGAUGGCGUCCAUGAGUUCACUCGUCAGGCCCCAUGAAACAAUGAACAAGAAGAGAUUAGGUAGAUCAUACCGUAGGGGCUUCCCCUAAAUGUUGAUGAAAGAACUCAUACCUUCACCCUUUGUGCUCUGGAACAAUGCCCAGAAAACAAUGUAAUUUUUCUUUUCUUUUCCUGAAACACUUUUAACAAAGAUCCAAAAGCCCUAGAUGCUAUUUAUAUUUGGACAUAGAGAAUAACUAAAAGAAAUAGUCCAAUGCAUAGGCUUAGAAAACUUAAAUAGUUAUCAAAGAGUUGUUAACACAUUAUCUAUAAUACAAAUGUCAACCACAACACUUAAAUAGUUACUCAAAAUAUAACAUGUCAAUAUUUGAGUAUUCAUGAAGAGUUUUUCAUACUAAUAAAUAUAAAAUUCAUGUCUUUAUUCAUUUUGAAAAUUGGGAUAUGGUGAUUCAAAUUGAGCAUUUGAAAAACCAAAGUUCUCCAAAUCAACCACUUCUAGAGUCAUGUCACCACCAUCCUCGUCAUCUACAAAAAUAUUAAAUAUAUAUUAACAAGAGAUCAUUUUUAAAGAAAAAAAUAGUAAUUGUUGAACUUUUAUAAGUUUACAUAUUCUACUAAUCAAUGAGAGCUUGCAGCUGAACUUGAACCUUCUACUUCAUUUAUUGGAAUUAAUCAUUCUUCAUAUAGAAGAUUUUCUAAUUCUUCCACAUCUAGCUCUCUUGGCUCAUCCUCAUCAACUAAACAAAAAUCAGUUUCAUCAAUACAUAAUCAAUGGGAUCAUAGGUCAUUUUCUUGUUGUACAACCUAAAAAAGAAAAACAUAUAAUUAUUCAUAAUUGUCAAUGAAAAAUUUUAAAUUCAAAACAACUAAGAAAGUAUUUACAUUGAAUUUGUAGCCACAAAUUGUAAUGAACGUAUACAAGAUCAUUAAGUCUUUCAUUUUUCAAUCUAUUCCUUUUUUUGGUAUAUGUGUAUAUGUUCAAACACACUCCAAGUCCUCUCACAUCCAAAAGAAGAUGAAGUUUGACUCAAUAUUUGAAUGACCAACUUUUGAAAAUAUGGUGCAUUAUAUCCAUGUAGCCUCUAUUAUUCAUCUAGUUACUAUUUUCACAUUAAAAUAAGGGAAAAAAAAAAACAACUUCAAUUCAUUCAUCGUUUCAUGCUUUCCUUUCAUAACUUUUUGAUUAAUAACAUCUAUGACAUCUCCAAUAACUUCUUGCUUAUUACAAUUUUUUUUUUUUUAUCAUAUUGGAAACAUGGAUUCAACCAAUAAGCUACUGAAUGAAUGCUUUUCUUUGGUUGUUCAUCCUAACGUUCCUUUAUGAUCUGUGUAUAAGGCUUGUAUAGUCUUUUAUUGUGUUUAAAUAAUUUCUUGAUACCCAAACGAGCAUUAUAAAUGCCUUUAUACACAUAUCCCAUCGAAGGCCUCUCAUCACAAUCAACAAUAUGUAAUAAGAGCACACGUGGAGCAAUGAGAUUCAUAACUAUCAAACAAUCAUUUCAAAAUCUAUUAUCCAAGAUGAUAGAAACUACAACUCUGCUUUUAUUAUCCAUUAAAUAUUUAGAGUCCACAAAAAACUUGCUAGUCACCAAAGCUUGCAAGUCAUGUUUAUGAUCAUGAAGACUCUUUACUGCAAUGAAUGCAGUAGCAAAGUGAGUUGCACUAGGUUGAAGAAUCUCUAUCCAUCCUUCUCUUUUUCUCAACCAACUUAACAAAGCAACAUGAUUACACACAAAAAUUGUCACCUUUGAUGCAUGUCUUACAAGUUCAGCAACAUAGUCCAUCUUACUAAUAUCCUUAAAGAUCAAAUUAAGACAAUAAGUUGUACAAGGUGACCAAUUGAUUUGUUUAUACUUCUAAGAAAUCAAUCUCCUUAAGACCACAUAAUUUGUUGCAUUAUCAGUCACUACAUGAACUACAUUGAGUGAACCAACCCAUUCAAUCCCUCAUCAAAUAGCAUAAACAAAGUAGUUGCAUCAUUCACAAUAUUCGAAGCAUCAACAGAUUUCACAAACGAUAUUCCUUGAGGACAGUAAACAAUGUUCAUUGUUUGUUAUCUGUCCAACAUCACCCAUUAUUAUACACCCAAUUUUUACCCAAAUUUUACAAUAAGAAUUCACAAGUAACUGAACUUCCUUCUUGGCAUCCUUUAAAUUAUUAAACCAUAGUUGAAGGUAAGUUGAACCCUUAUAUCCAAGACAAAUUACGAAUAUAGCAUCCAACAUUGGCGUGAAGUAGAAGGAAUUCACAACAUUAAUAAGAACGCAUGCAUCAUAAAAGAAUCUCUCAACAACCAUAUCUACUCUCCAAAUAGCUUAUUUCCUAGCUAAUACACUCCUAAUGGAAGGUUGAGCUCCUUAAGUAGUUCUUGGUGCAAAAUACUUAUCCAUUGUUGAUUUUUUUCUUUUUCCACUAUAGUUGCCAUAGGAUUUUACAUAUCUUGAACCUCUUCUCCACAUUUUGGCAUAUCCCCUUCAAAUUGUGACACCUUAAGACCAUAAUUCAUAUGUUUCUUGGAUUUCACAAACUCCUACAAAGAAUUUUCCAUUUGAAAUCUACAUUAGGAGGAAUUGAUUUACAUGGACCAAUAUAUUGUUUCACUCCAACAAGGUGUUGUUUCCGUUUUAUGAAUUCCCCUACCUUUUGCAACUUUUUUACAAUAUAAACAAACAAGAACUUUCCUUCCAUUUGUAUUUUUUUCUUUAGAAACAUGCUCCUAUGUAGGGUUGGUGUUGUCUCUACUUGUUUGUGAAUUUGUAUUUGAAUCUUGACCAGAGGAUGGGGUCAAGUUUGAUUCCAUUUUGAUUUUUCUAUAAAAUUGUAAACAAAAACAACAAUUUUAAUCACCAUUCAAUGCAUUCAUCAAUAAAAAAAUAUGACUUCAAUCAAGUCAUCCACAAUUUAAAAAAAAAUAAAAGAAUUAAAGAAUUUAUUAUAGAAAAUUCUUUCAAAAUCAGAAAUUUACUUUCAAAUAAAAAAUUUAUUUAAAAUAUAAAAAUAAUAUUUUUAUUUAAAAAUUAGAAAAUUUAAAUUUAUUUAAAAUUAUCUAAAAAACGCAACAUAAUGUUUGAUUCAUUGAUUAUUUCCAAAAAAAUUAUUUUAAUUUCUAAUGUUUUUAAUUAUUUUAAUAAUUUAUUUAAACUCAAAUAAGAUAUUUUAAAAAUCAAUAUAAAAUUUAAAAAAAUAAAAUGAAAAUAAAGUAAAGAAAUAAAUAAAUCUAAACAAAUGAUUCAAUUAUUCAAAUGAAAUUUCAAUGAAUAUUGAUAUUGUAAUUUAAUAAAUCAAUAUGCAAUAAAAUUAUAAAAUAUUAAAUAUUAAAUAAAUUAAAUAAAUUGCAAGAUUCCAAAGUUUAAACUCAUAAUGGGAGAUUUGGAAUCCAGUGCGGUCGUCGGCAUGUGGAGGCGAUGGCUUCUCCAAUGUGGUGCAACUAUUGGAGACGUGCGUGCUAGUAAGGAGGGAAGGUAAAAAAAUGGCUUAUAUACAGAGCAAAACGACGUUGUUUCGAUGCCAAAUGCAUCAAAACAACGCUAUUUUGAUGGCAAAAAAAUAAAAAAGGUAUGAACCAUUUAGUUUGGGGGAAACCAGCUGAUUCACCAAUAAGAUCGCUAAUUUCGACGGUUGGAGGCUAGUCCAACCCUUCGACGGUUUAAAUCACCAAAGCAAACCGAAAAAUUGACUGAUCGAAAGUCAAACCAAUUGGAUCGACCGGUCUGAUCCGAUUUCUAAAAUCAUGUUCAUACCUUUAAAAUUUGUUUAGAAAAUUAAGAGAAACUCAUACAUAUAUAGUGUUUGAAACAUUUUUUCCAAUUUGAUGUGGAAUAAAUAUCACAUAUAUUCCCUCAAAAUGUUGAUUCCAAGUAGAUGGGCAAAUGAACAAUUUAGUAUUAAAAAGAAAAAAAAAUACAUGGAUGGUAAUGUGUAUUAAUUCAUUUUUGACUCUUGUUAUAACACCCCACAUUUAUUGUUAGGGCAAAACUGUAAAUUAGAAUAAAAUAUAAAUAAAUAAAUUUAAUAAGGGUAUAAAGACCUUUUUUGCAUUAAAAGUCCUAGUUAUAAAUUAGAUUUUCUUUGUCUUUUUCAUUCAGAAAACCCUAUUAUACAUGGAUGGAAAUUCAAAAAUCAACAAAUCUCAACUUUUAAACCAACAUAUCAACAAUAGAAUUUUUUUGUCCAAGCAAUUUCAAACUUAAAACAAUAGCUAACAGUAAUCAAAUUCUAACAUUUAACAAAGUACCAAAAAGAGAGUUUAAACAAAUGUCUUAAUAAGGCCAAAUUUAUCAUCCUAACUGUCACUCCUCGCCUGAAUUGAGAGUACUUGAAAUAUUAUCAACAAAGGGGAAUGAGCUCAAAACCCAAUAAAGAACAUUAAUGUACAAUUUCAUGGAUCAAAUAGUUUCAAUCAUGCUUACAAAUAGGAGAUAUUAAGUUCAAAUAUUCUAAUACAUUUUCAUCUGUUCAACCAAACAUUUUCAUAUAUAUCAAAACCAUUUCACAUCAAAUCCAAAUCAAACACAUUUAAAAUAUUUUCACUCUUAUUAUCAUAUAACAAAUGGUGCAUAAUUGGGUGAGAUUUUACAAAUGAGUUACUAGUUUCAAAUUAGUUCUAUUUAAGGUGAACAAAACCAAAUGUCAACAAUUACAACCCAUUGCCUAGGGUCGUAUAAUAUCAAUUAUUAUAACCCAUUGACUAGGGUUGAAAAUGUCAACAAUUAUAACUCGUUGACUAGAGUUAUUAAAACUAGAGUCAAACACUUCAUUUCAUUAAUUCAAACUUACAAAACAAAAUCUCAUAUUUCUACAAUUUUUAUCUUUCAUAAACAAAGAAAAUGCUCAAACAUAUUUUUCAUACAAAACAUAUAUUUGAUCCAUGUAUAAAAAUAAAAAUAAAAAUUUUCAUAAAUCAAAAUAAAAUUUAAAAAAAAAUACUUUCUUUUACAAAAUCUAUAUUAAUUUCCCUUACCUCAUAGAAGCACUAAAAAACCUUGAAGUAUUUAAUCCUAAAGAGUUUUGCCCCAAAAAACCUAUUUCAAACUUAACAAAAAAAGACAUAACUAUUACUAUUAACUAUUUAUCUAAAUUUAAGGGCUUGAGAAUCCUAAUAAUUUUAUAUGUUAUGUCAUCUAUAUUAUUUUUAACUUCUUAAUCAAUAACAAUUUAAUACAUAAGUUUCUAAAUUCUUAUAGAAGUUUGAUUCUUUCCAAAAUUUAUUCCUAAGAUUCUAUUAAUUUAUUAUUAUUUUUUUAAAAUUAAAUUUCUCAAAAAUAUAUUUUUUCUAUUUAUUACAUUAAACUAUUAUUAUUAUUAUUACUAAUAUUUCAUUUAUUAGCUUAAAAUUAAAUAUUAUUAGUUUUAUUAAUUUUCAGAUUCAUUACAUAACCAACGCAUUACCCUCUAUAUUCAGUGCAUACACAAAACCCAAAAUAAAAACAAGUUUUCUUCCUACUGUCAUCAUUAUCAUUUAUUAUUAUAAUACUUUUUAUUUUCAACAUCUAACUUCCUUUCCGGUGCACACGCUUUUUCUUUCUCUUUUGUUUUUUUUCUUCUCAAGCCUACACUACACUGCCACUCCACGUCCCCUCAUGUCUUCUAUUUAUUUAUUUAUUAUUAUUAUUAUAAUCCAUUUGUUUUCCUUUUCAAAAACAAUCUCGUGGUCAAUGAUUCAUUUUUCUUUCUUAUAUUUUUUUUUUUCCUCAAUCUAAAGCCGACAUAACUGAACUAUUUUAUUUAUUUAGUUAUUUAUUUCGUUUAAACCUAUAAUUUAUUUUCUUCUAUUUGUAUUUAUUUAUUUUAUCUAUGCAGUUGAAUAUUCAAAAUUUUCUUAUCUUCAUUAAUAAAUUAAUCUAUAUUGAUAAAUUUUUAAUAUUUUAAUCUAAAAAAAAUUAAAUAAACAAAUUAUAAUUUAGAUUGAAAUCUUUUAAAGAAUUUUUAAACGAAUCAAAACUAAUUAAUGAAUUUAAAAUAAUAAUCUAAAUAUUAAAAUUUUAUUUAAAAAAUUUGGAACUUUUAAAUCUUUAUCUCUAGGUUUUUCAAUUCUUAAGAUAAAAGAGUUUUACUCAAGAGAAAAAAUAAAGAAAAUCUAAUUUAUAGGUAAAAUUUUUAAUAAGGAAAAGAUUUUUUUAUCAUUAUUAAAUUAAUUAUUUUUUAAUUAUGAUUUUAGCCUUGGAUUUGGUGCAUUACAGAAAAUUUUUAAAAGGGUAAGAAAUUUUUAUUCAUUAAAUUUUUUUUAAAAAAACUUCAAACCUUGACUUUACAAAUUUUGGCCCAUAAAUCGAAGAACUUUAUGUGGAAGGUGUAGCUAUCCGAACCCUUCCUCGAGGGAACGUGAAUCAUGUCCUGCACCCACAUGAUUGAUGUGACCGAUGAGUUUGGGGUGCCUUCCUAUCUCUUCUUCCCUCCCAGUGCUGCUUUUCUUGGCUUCCUGUUGCAUCUGGCAGUUCCUCCAUGAUUAUGAGGGCUUGGAUAUUAAUGAGUUCAAGGACUCGGAUGCUGAGUUGGAGGUUCCAAGUUUUGCUAACUCAGUUCCGGGUAAGGCCUUUCCUUCUUUGAUGAUUGACAAGGAAAGUGGAGGGGCCGAGAUGCUUCUUCAUCACACGAGGAGAUUCAGACACGUCAAGGGUAUUCUGGUAAAUACAUUUAUUGAGCUUGAAUCACAUGCUAUUCAAUCACUUUCUGGCAGUACAGUACCCGUAGUGUAUCCGGUUGGACCCAUACUCAACACCCGAAGGGGAUCUGAUGGGGGUCAACAAGAUGCUAGUGCCAUCAUGAGCUGGCUUGAUGAUCAGCCUCCAUCAUCCGUGGUUUUCCUGUGCUUCGGGAGCAUGGGAAGCUUUGGUGCGGAUCAAAUCAAGGAGAUAUCACAUGCGUUAGAGCACAGUCGGCAUCGCUUCUUGUGGUCCCUUCGCCAACCUCCCCCAAAGGGUAAAGUGAUUACAAGCGACUAUGAAAAUAUUGAGCAAGUUCUACCAGAAGGAUUUUUACAUCGGACGGCUAGAAUUGGAAAGGUGAUUGGAUGGGCUCCACAAAUAGCGGUUUUAGCCCACUCAGCUGUUGAAGGAUUUGUAUCUCAUUGUGGAUGGAAUUCUUUACUAGAAAGCAUAUGGUAUCGUGUUCCAGUAGCCACAUGGCCAAUAUAUGCAGAAUAACAAAUCAACGCAUUUCAAAUGGUGAAAGAUUUGGGGUUGACGGUAAAAAUUAAAAUUGAUUACAAUAAGGAUCAUGAUCAUAUUGUAAGUGCUCAUUGUAGGGACCCCUCCCCUUGGGAAACACGUGGCACGCGGCUCAUGGUGACGCGUGGCACGUACUAUCGGCCGGACCAUCAUCAUCCGGAUUCCCCUACAGAUAUGUAUGGUGCGGCUAUCCUAUCCGGAACCCCAAAGGAAAGACAAACAACGUUUCAGCUUCUCCUAUCCAAGGAAGAGCAAACGACGCUGGCAGAGCGUAGACACCCGGAUAGUCUCCACAAACACAUCCGGAUAUUCAGCAUGAUCCAUCCGGAUAUAAAUCGUCUGGAUGAUCAAUUAAAGUAAAGCGAGUCUUACACGCAAUCACAACAAGCAGCCAUGGCCCACAUCCCAUCACCUGCAGAAUGAGAAGACAAGAGGAAGUGACAGCAAGUCACUUCCCACGAUCAUUCUACAUAAUCGCUUCCCACGAUCUCUGACAGCCGCAUCAUCUACCAUGGUCUCUGACAGCCAUUCGUAGGAUGAUAGUGCUCCUACUAACACCUAUUGUCAUCAUCACAACAGAAAAUAUCUCCCCACCAUUAAUGAGAGGAACAGUACCCCUGAAGCUGUAUAUAUAUGACUUCACACGAAGAAGAAAGGGAUGAUCUCCUAGUAACCUCUUGAUACCUAGUAAAAGGCCAACUGCCUCAUAUAUCUUAUUCUCUUACUAUGGCUAACAACAUCAUCGGAGGGUGCAUCCGGACACCCUGUCCGGAUGCCUUUUUGCAGGUACAACCACUGAAUCAAGAACCCCUUGUGUGUUGAGAAUCGCGUGUCCAUCCAUCUAGCAGCAACGCGGCCCACCUGAUACGCGAGGUGACAACACUCAUGAGAUUGAAAAUGGAUUAAGGAACCUAAUGAAUACCAACAGUGAAGUGAGGCUGAGGCAAAAGAAGAAAGAAAUGCAAAAAAUAAGUAGAAGAGUCAUGAUAGAUGGUGGGUCCUCGCACUUUUCUUUAGGCCAUUUUAUUGAAGACAUGGUGGCCAACAUUUCAUACAAGCAACAAAGUCGUGAUACCUAUUGUAUGAAUUAUUUUGUACUAGUAUGAAAGGAAAAGGUGCAUUGUAGGCUCUAAUAAAUUAAUUUAUCAUAUGCUUUAUUUUAAUGCUCAAAUAAUUUCUUUGAUAAAGUCAAGAAAUUUGACCUUUCAAACUAGGAAAUGUGUUAUCUCUUUAUUAUUUAGUAAAACAAGUUUACAAGUGAAUGAAUUUAGUAAUAUGUCGAUCUCAUUGAUCAAUGAAUACACAAUUGAACAUUUUCCGGUACUAGUAAUAAAAUUAACUAUAUAAUUACAAAUCAACAAACCCUAUUGGUUUGAGACAAUCUUCAUAAGUGUUUUUUCUAAAUAUUUUUUAUAUUCUUAUGUGAUUGAAUAUAUUUUGGAUUAUGACUUAUAUAAUUUCUCACAUUCUAAUCAAAAGCAAUAAUUAAAUCUCAAUAAUCAACCUAUAUGAUAACGGAAUCAGUUUAAAUAGGUUUAAAAGUUACUAAUUUAAUAUAUCCUAUUUAUGUACAAAAAAAUUGUGAGUAUUGUCCCGAAAUAUGUUUCUAAUAUCAACAUAACAUUUCUUCCUCAUUUUGUUUGGCUAAUGAAAAGCCAUUAGAAAAAAAAUAUAUAGAUAUUUGAUUAAAAUGAUUAAAAUAGUCUCUAAUUCGAACAAUGCUCUUUUUUUUAAAAAAAAAUAUCGAAAAUGAUAAUAUUUUUUUAAUAAAAAUAUCAUUCAUUUAUGUUAAAGCAAUUUGAAAAAAAGAUAUUUUUAUUCACUUAUAUUUUUUAUUAAUAAAAAUAUCAUUCAUUUAUGUCAAAGCAUUUUAUUUAUUUAUAAGUAUUAAGAUAUUUUUAUUCAUUUAUAAUUUUUAUUUAGAACUUUAAACCAAUAGAAGAUGGCUUUACAAAUUUUGGCCCAAAGAUCCCCAAGAACUUUAUUUGAAAGGUGUAGCAUAUUCGAACCCUUCGUCCAGGGAACAUGAAUCAUAAUUUCGUUGCUGGUUUUAUAUUAAAAUACAUGGGAUACAUCGAGAACCACCCACUUUUGCCUCAAUCUUCAACCAAGACCAACCACAAUCAUACAAAAACGAUAAGGAAAAUAAAUUGAACCAGCAAAGCCCUGACAUCACUUCCUUUGUCCUCCAAUACUAUCCAGCCACAAGUAUAAGAGUGUCACACCACUGCAAAGCCCUCAAAACAUCCCAUUUUUCCUCUCUUUGCAGUAACUGCUAGUUAGUGAUGGAGCAAACUGAGCUGGUCUUCAUCCCAUUUCCUAUCAUCGGCCACCUUACGUCUGCACUGGAGAUUGCAAAGCUGAUUACUCAGCGAGACCCCCGAUUCUCAAUCACGAUCAUCAUCAUGAAGUUUCCGUUUGAGUCCAUUGAUGGUAUGGACACGGACUCUGAUUCCAUACGUUUCGUUACACUUCCUCCUGUAGAGGUCUGCUCCAGUACGACGCCGUCUGGUUUCUUCCUCUCUGAAUUCCUCAAAGCUCACAUCCCAGUCGUCAGAGACGCCAUCCACGAGCUCACUCGCUCCAACUCGGUUCGUCUCGCAGGGUUCGUUAUUGAUAUGUUCUGCACCCACAUGAUCGAUGUGGCCGAUGAGUUUGGGGUGCCUUCCUAUCUCUUCUUCACUUCCAGCGCUGCUUUUCUUGGCUUCCUGUUGCAUCUUCAGUUCCUCCAUGAUUAUGAGGGCUUGGAUUUCAAUAAGUUCAAGGACUCGGAUGCUGAGUUGGAUGUUCCGAGUUUCGCGAACUCAGUUCCGGGUAAGGUCUUCCCUUCUCGGAUGUUUGACAAGGAAGGCGGAGGGGCUGAGACGCUUCUUUAUCACACGAGGAGAUUCAGAGAAGUCAAAGGUAUUCUGGUAAAUACAUUUAUUGAGCUUGAAUUACAUGCUGUUCGAUCACUUUCUGACAGUACAGUACCCGAGGUGUAUCCCGUUGGACCCAUACUCAACACCCGAAUGGGAUCUGGUGGGUGUCAACAAGAUGCUAGUGCCAUCAUGAGCUGGCUUGAUGAUCAGCCUCCAUCGUCAGUUGUUUUCCUGUGCUUCGGGAGCAGGGGAACCUUUGGUGCGGAACAGAUCAAGGAGAUAGCGUAUGGGCUAGAGCACAGUGGGCAUCGCUUCUUGUGGUCCCUUCGCCAACCUCCCCCAAAGGGUAAAAUGGAUUUUCCAAGCGACUAUGAAAGUAUUGAGGAAGUUCUACCAGAAGGAUUUUUACAUCGGACAGCUAGAAUUGGAAAGGUGAUUGGAUGGGCUCCACAAGCAGCGGUUUUAUCCCACUCAGCUGUUGGAGGAUUUGUAUCUCAUUGUGGAUGGAAUUCUUUGCUAGAAAGCGUAUGGUAUGGUGUUCCUGUGGCCACUUGGCCAAUCUAUGCAGAGCAACAAAUCAACGCAUUUCAAAUGGUGAAAGAUUUGGGGUUGGCCACAGAAAUUAAAAUAGAUUACAAUAAGGAUAAUGAUUAUGUUGUAAGUGCUCAUGAGAUUGAAAAUGGAUUGAGGAACCUAAUGAAUAUUGAUAGUGAAGUGAGGCAAAAGAGGAAAGAAAUGCAAAAAAUAAGUAGAAGAGUCAUGAUAGAUGGUGGGUCCUCGCACUUUUCUUUAGGCCAUUUUAUUGAAGACAUGGUGGCUAACAUUCCAUGCAAGCAACAAAGACGUGAUACCUAAUGUAUGAAUUAGUUUAUACUAAUAUGAAAUAAAAAGGUGCAUUGUAGGCUCUAAUAAAUUAAUUUAUCAUCUCCUUUAUUUGAAUGCUCAAAUAUUUCUUUGAUGAUGUCAAGAAAUUUGACCUUUCAAACUAGGAAAUGUGUUCUUUCUUUAUUAUUUAGUGAAACAAGUUUACAAGGGCAUGAAUUUAGUUAUAUGUGGAUCUCAUUGAUCAAUGAAUACACACUUGAGCAUUUUCCUGUAGGAAGCUGGACUAGUGAUAAAAUCAACUACAUAACUAAAAAUCCACAAACCCUAUUGAAUUUGGUUUGAUGGGGAUGAAUAGAUAUAAGAAUUUUUAUAAGAAUUUGUUCAAUUGGAUCACUAUUAAUUUGAUGCUUGCCUUCAGAUUAGAGACAACUAUCCACUUGAGAAAUUUAAUUAAUUUCUGGGCAGUGUUUAUCUUCUUUUCUACAAGCAUGAUGCUCGAAGAGCAAAUUAAUGUUCUCAAACUAUUUGGUGUGUUGGUAUGGAUUUAAGAAACUAACGUCUCAUCAAUGCAUAUCAAGGCAUCUACGCAUGUGAGAGAUCAAUAGAUUCAAAAUGAUUCUAAUUGGAGCAUUUUUUAAUUAAGAGGUAGCUACCUUGAGUCUUGUGAGAAAGAAAAUAAUUAGAUGAAGAAGGUAAUUGGUAUGGAGAUGAGGAUUUAGAAUUAUAAGUUCUUUAGAUUUGAUUAUGGAGAGAGUUGAGAGAAUAUAAUUUUUUUUUUUAUAAGAAAAUUACUAAGAGAUGUGAAAAAAGUCUUUAAAAAAAUGAUAAUAAUAAUUUAAACACAAAAAUGAUUAUGUAUAUAGUAUUGAAUUAUGAAUUUGUCCUUUCCUUUCUUUUAAUGAAAAAUAAAUACAUAUGGAAAUUGAUAAUUGAAGUUGUUAUUCAAUCAUCUAAAGAUUAGCUUAGAUGGAAUAUAUUGUAAUGAUCUACUCCUAAUCGUGUAAAUAUUGUUUACUUUGAAUCCAACCUAUCAUAUCCCAUAAGAUUAGGGUGGUCAAACAAAUUCUCACACUGGGGGGUCAAGGAUCAACUUUAAUACUAUUUGUAAUGGCUCACUCCCAACAGUAUAGAUAUUAUCCUCCCAACUGUAAAUAUUGUUCAUUCUAAACCCAAAAAUCUCUCACAGCUUUAAAACGUGUGUAUAAAAUUAAAAGGAGCUUAUACAUAUAUGAUGUCAGGAUUUUUUUUCCUCAUUUGAUGAAAGAUGCCACAUGUAUUCCCUCAAAAUACUGAUUCCAAUUAGAUGUGAAGAGGAACCAUUUAGUAUUAGAAAGAAAAGAAAUACAUAGAUGGUAAUAUGUAUUAUUUCUAUUCCUUAGUCUUGUUGCAAGGACACUCAUUGCUAUAUAAUAUAUAUAUAUAUAUAUAUAUAUAUAUAUAUAUAUUUAAAGAACUUUGAAAAUUAAUUUUGUUAUAUACAAAAUUAACUUAUAAUUAAAAUAAAAUCAUUUAUAAUACAAAUAUUGGAUUGAUAAAUAAUUAUAUAAGUAAUUAUCUUAAUUUAGCUCAAUUUUAAGUCUUAAAAUACAGAUUCGAAAUAUAUUAAAUAAAAUAAAAUUUCACUUAAAUCUUACAUGGAUAAAUAGAAAUAAUAACUUCUAUACAAAAAAUAAAAAAUUUUAUAGAAAAAAUUGAAAGCUUAUCUUAUUUUCUUUCUACAACUAAAAUUCGAGUGAACAAAAAACUAUUAACUUCAAAUUUUUAAGCUAUUUUAAGAUAAAUCUCUAUUAUUUACCUAAGAACUCAUACUAUCUUUAAUUUUCAAAAAUAAAAAUAUAUCCAAAUGUGCACCUAAAUUUUGUAGAAAAUGAACCUUGAGCAAACUCUCCUAAUCACGUUAUUUUAUCAUUUACCCAAAGAUUUAUGCUUAUCAAAAAUCAAUCAACCACAUUGAGAAUUGAUAAUUUUAGCUAGCUAGUAACAUGUGCAAUCAGAAGAAAGUCAAUGAAGAGUACAUAUAUUCACAUCUCUUCUUUUCUGAAUUCCUCAAAAGACAUCAUCCAUGAGCUCAUUAAUCACACCCAUAAAACAAUGAACAAGAAGAGACCAAGAAAAUAUCAUAUUGUAGGCGCAUCGCCAAAAGGUUUGUUGAAAUAACUUAUACCUUCACCCUCUGAGCUCUAGAAUAGUGUCGAAAAGAACAACCUAAUCUUUCUUUCUUUUUUCUGAACUACUUUUUACCAAGAUCCCAAAGCCUUAGAUGCUAUUUAUAUUUGGACUUGGAGAAUACUUAAAAAUAAAUAGCCCAACUAUGGGCUUAGAGAACUUUUCAAGGGUUGGAUAAACAUAGCUCAACAAAAUUAGCUUAAAAUAACCUUUAAAAUUACCCAUUCAAGACCUAUCAAAUCAAAAGAAAAUUAAAAUAAAAACUUUUGGAAACCUUUUCUAUGCAAAAAUUUCAAAAAAAAAAUAUUAUAUAAAAAAUUGAAAACUUAUCUUAUAUGCUUUCGAUAACUUAAAUUUUGAGAGAACAAAAAACUGUAAAAUUCAAAAUUUUCAUCUAUUUUUCAAAACAUUUGUUUUUAAGAUAAAUCUCUAUUAUUUAUAUAACAACUUAUACUAUCUUUUAUUUUCAAAAAUAAAAAAUUUAUUCAAAGUCCACUUAAAUUUUGUUGAUAAUGAACCUUGAGCAAACUCUCAUGGUCACAUUAUUUAAUCAUUUACCUAAAGAUUUAUGCUUAAAGAAAAUCAAUCAACCACAUUCAGAAUUGAUAAUUCUAAGUAGUUAGUAACACAUGGAGUCACAAUUCCAUACAACAAAUACAUAUAUAUAGAAAAAUUUGAAAUCUUAUCUUAUAUGCUCUUUAUAACUAAAAUUUCGAGUGAACCAAAAAUUUUUAAAUUCAAAAUUUUAAGCUAUUUAAAAGUUGUUUAUGUUUAAGAUAAAUCUCUAUUAUUCAUAUAAGAACUCAUACUAUCUUUUUAUUUUCAAAAAUAAAAAAUGUUUUGAAAGUCCACUUAAAUUUUGUAGAAAAUGAACCUUGAACAAACUCUCUUAAUCAAAUUAUUUUAUCAUUUACCUAAAGAUUUAUACUUAUAAAAAACCAAUUAACCGCAUCGAGAAAUGAUAAUUCUGGAUAGCUAGUAACACAUGGAAUCACAAGAAAGAUGAUGAAGAUUAUGUAUAUUAAUUAUGGUCUCUUCUUUUCUGAAUUCCUCACAACUCACAUCAAUUGGUCUUUGAUGUUGUCCGUGAGCUCACUUGUCACACCCAUAAAACAAUAAAUAGGAAGAGAUCAAGAAGAUCAUACCACAAGGGCUUCCCUAAAAGAUUGAUGAAAGAACUUAUACCUUCACCCUUUGAGCUCCAAAACAAUGCCCAAAAACCAACCUAAUCUUUUUUUUUUCCCUUUUUCUGAACUAUUUCAUCAAGAUUCAAAAGCCCUAGAUGUUAUUUAUAUUUGAACAUAGAGAAUACCUAAAAUAAACAAUCCAACGCAUGGGCGGGAUAAACUUAGCUCAAUAAAUUUAGCUUAAUAUUAACCCUUAAAGUUACCCAUUCAUGGUCUAUUAAUGAAUAUAAAUAAAAUUUUUUGAAAACCUUUUCAAUACAAAAAUAAAAGAUUUGAUAACAAAAAUUGAAAACUCACCUUAUAUGCUUUCUAUAACUGAAAUUUCGAGUGAACAAAAACUAUUAACUUCAACUUUUUCAGCUAUUUUUAAAAUUAUUUAUUUUUAAUAUAAAUCUCUAUUAUUUAUAUAAACACUCGUACUAUCUUUUAUUUUCAAAAAUGAAAAAUAUACUCAAAGUCCAAUUAAAUUUUGUAGAAAAUGAAUCUUGAGCAAACUCUCUCGACCACGUUAUUUUAUUAUUUACCUAAACAUGCUUAUCAAAAAUUAAUCAACCAUGUUGAGAAUUGAUAAUUUUGGGUAGCUAGUAACACAUGGAAUCAUAAGAAAGUUGAUGAAGUUGUUUUCCUCUCUAAAGUCCUAAAAGCUCACAUGCCACUCAUCUCUGAUGUUGUCCAUGAGCUCACUCGUCACACCCAUAAAACAAUAAACAAGAAGAGAUAAGGAAGAUCAUACCGCAAUGACUUUCACAAAAGGUUGAUGAAAUAACUUAUACCUUCACCCUCUGAGCUCUAGAAUAGUGUCAAAAAGAACAACCUAAUCUUUCUUUCCUUUUUCUGAACUACUUUUUGCCAAGAUCCCAAAGCCUUAGAUGCUAUUUAUAUUUGGACUUAGAGAAUACUUAAAAAUAAAUAGCCCAACUAUGGGCUUAGAGAAUUUUUCAAGGGUUGGAUAAACAUAGCUCAACAAAAUUAGCUUAAAAUAACCUUUAAAAUUACCCAUUCAAGAUCUAUCAAAUCAAAAGAAAAAUAAAAUAAAACUUUUGGAAACCUUUUCUAUGCAAAAAAUUCAAAAAAAAAAAUUAUAUAAAAAAUUGAAAACUUAUCUUAUAUGCUUUCUAUAACUGAAAUUUUGAGUGAACAAAAAACUGUAAAAUACAAAAUUUUCAUCUAUUUUUCAUAACAUUUUGUGGACCCCGCAUUUCGAUUGCUCGAUGCGUUUCCCACUGGAUGGCGAGCUCGAUUUUUAUUUUUAUUUGAAAAAUUGAUUUUUAUUGAUUAUUUGAAAAUGACUUGGAGUCGCCACUUAUUUUUGUUUUAUUUUUAAAAGGGUAAACAAAAUAAGAAAGAAAGACCCUAAAUGUGACUCCAUAUUUUGGAAAAGACGGUCUGCGAAAAACCGGAUCGGGUUCGGGGGUCAGGUUACUUGUCGGGAAGGUACGGUAAAGACCGUAGCACCCCUCUAAGCCCCUAAAAUAGGUCUCUACUAAUAAAAUGAAGCAGACAUGACAAUCGAUUAGGCAAAACAGUGAAUACUCGGAACUAUCAUGCACAUAUGAGAAUCAGAAUAUGAAUAGCGAAUGAUCAGAAUGAGUGAAUACGUACCUGGGCAGCAAACAGCAAUGCGCUAUCAUGGAAUGGGGUUAGUGAAUAAACACAGAAUGAUUAUAUACAUAUCAUGGAAUAUAGCAAAACGAUCAUGCGUGGUAAAUAAAUCAAUCAAGCGAUCAAUCAGUCAUGAAUUCACAUAUGUAGGGCCCCCACCAAAGCCCGAUCAAUCUUGCAUGAAUUAAUCUCACAAAUUCCAUUAUUCUGAAAUUAUGAAAGUGACAUUCACGCUUAUAUAAAACCAAGAGGAACAUGAGAUUACUUGAAAACCGGAAUGGAAUUAAAACUGUUCAAGUGAAGACUGGAUUUUUGAAAUUUGUUUGAAAAUUGGAGUAUCGAAAAUUAUUUGGAAAUUGGAGUUUUGGAAAUUAAAUUUAAGAAUUGGAAUUUUAGGGAUUAAAUUCGAAUGAAAACAUAAUUUUGAAAAUUAUUUGGGAAGUAGAAACCAUGAAAGUUAAUUUAUAAAAAAAACAAAUUAUGAAAAUUGGGACUUUGGAAAUUAAAUUUUGAAAGAAAUUAGAAUUAAAAAUUAUUUAAAAUUUUGAAAAUUUGGAAAACUUAUUCAAUAAUAAAGAAACUUAGAAAUUUGAGGAAUUAAUUAAAAAUUGUUUUAAGACAUCCCUAAAGAAAGAAAAAAAAAAAUGGAAUAAAAAAUUUUAUUUGAGAGAUUGAAUCUUAUUGGCGUAAAAGAAAUAUCCAAAUUUUUCAUGCAUCAAGAAAUUAGGUGGGGCCACAUCUCCAAGUUUUUCUACUUAUGGAAAUAUCUCACAAUAUGGCACAUGGCAUGGAAGGAAAACACACGGCCAUGCAAUGAGGGUGGUUGGGCAUAAAGUGGUCAAAAGGUCAUCCAUAUGGGACCCAUGAUCAUGCUUAAAUAUUAAACAUUAUUCCAAAUAAACCAAGGCAGUAUGCCUUUUCAACUGUGUACGCUACCUCCCACUAACUCCCAGAACUUCAAGAAGCUCCUGACUCCUCAGUCAGCCCAUCGCGUCUUAGAAACCCAUGAAAACUACACUGCCCAAUUGUAAAACAGCUAAACAUACUUUCUAGAGCUUCAUCUUCUAUUUGGAUUAAUUUUAAUGGCAUCACUCAGCGAAGGGGACCAUCCUAUGAACCCCGAUACCACUAGCAUACUCUUCUUGGGGCCUCUUAAUUCAGAACCAAAUUCAGAUAUAGAGACCCCCUGCCUGGGCAUGAUAUACUCAUAUGGGAUAAGGUUCAUUCCACCCCUGACAGCUGUCACCACGACACACUUGGCAAUGGUGUGAAAUGCAGCUUUCUCACUAAGAUAAAAUGACCUAUCAAUAAAUACAAUCGGGUCAUAAUCUGGCUGCCCAAAACUUUCAUUAAUUCUCUUACAGCUUUCCUGGAUUUCAGCCUGUACCACCUCGAGAUCUCUCCCAAAAACAUUUCCUCUAGCAGAAAUGAAACAGAAAACCCAUGAGCGCAUCUCCUUCUCUGCUUCUCCUCUGUUUCUCAAGUUCAGCAACCAUAUCUCCCCAUCUGCUUCUCUCUCUCAUUUUCUUACUUAGCUCAUUUCCAUUUCCGUCAAUACUCUAGAUCAAACAGCUCACCAAGCACAACACAAAUAUAGGAAUAACAGCAGAGACAUAGCCAGGGUGAACAACAGGUGUUAAACAAAUAUGGGAAGGUAAAACAUAUGAUGAUACAGAGUUCCACUUCAGGUGACAUCCAUGGGCUCGAAAUAGGUGAGAUUAACGUAUCAAAGAAAACUCAAAAACAGUUCAUGCAUUCAGAGGACUGAGUUCAACCAAAGCAAACAAAAUAUUGUCUAGAACUAGAGCUAAAAAUGUCAAGAGGAUAGGAGAAUAAUGGAAAAUGUAAGACUUAUAGUUCAUACCUGUAAAUGGAUUCCCUACCAGCAAGACUAGUUAGGCUUCUAGCUCUUUUCUAAAGCUCCCUCUCUUCCCUUUGCUGUCCGCCUUGGUUCCUCCUUCUCUCAACUUCUCUCCGUAGCCUAAGCUCCAGGAAUACCCUCCAGAAAAAUCCUCUCUCCGGUGGCUUCCCUAAACUCCAAAACUCCCUCUCUCUAUCCCCCAAAAAUAUCUCUAACGGCCUAGCCUUUUUCCCACCACCCUACAGCUGCCAACCUUCACGGUUUUCAACUUUUUCUGCUGAAAGAAAUCUCCACGUGUCAAGCUUCCAUUGGCCAUCAAAACCACUAACUUGAUACCCUAUCAACCAGUCCUGGAGUGACACGUGGUCAUCCCAGACGAUGACACUUGUCAUAAUCGGGCUGUAGAGAUGUCUCCCCAAAAUGGGGGUCUACACAUUUAUUUUUAAGAUAAAUCUCUAUUAUUUAUAUAACAACUUAUACUAUCUUUUAUUUUCAAAAAUAAAAAAAUUAUUCAAAGUCCACUUAAAUUUUGUUGAUAAUGAACCUUGAGCAAACUCUCAUGGUCACAUUAUUUAAUCAUUUACCUAAAGAUUUAUGCUUAAAGAAAAUCAAUCAACCACAUUCAGAAUUGAUAAUUCUAAGUAGUUAGUAACACAUGGAGUCACAAUUCCAUACAACAAAUACAUAUAUAUAGAAAAUUUUGAAAUCUUAUCUUAUAUGCUCUUUAUAACUAAAAUUUCGAGUGAACCAAAAACUUUUAAAUUCAAAAUUUUAAGCUAUUUAAAAGUUGUUUAUGUUUAAGAUAAAUAUCUAUUAUUCAUAUAAGAACUCAUACUAUCUUUUCAUUUUCAAAAAUAAAAAAUAUUUUGAAAGUCCACUUAAAUUUUGUAGAAAAUGAACCUUGAACAAACUCUCUCAAUCAAAUUAUUUUAUCAUUUACCUAAAGAUUUAUACUUAUAAAAAACCAAUUAACCGCAUCGAGAAAUGAUAAUUCUGGAUAGCUAGUAACACAUGGAAUCACAAGAAAGAUGAUGAAGAUUAUGUAUAUUAAUUAUGGUCUCUUCUUUUCUGAAUUCCUCACAACUCACAUCAAUUGGUCUUUGAUGUUGUCCGUGAGCUCACUUGUCACACCCAUAAAACAAUAAAUAGGAAGAGAUCAAGAAGAUCAUACCACAAGGGCUUCCCUAAAAGAUUGAUGAAAGAACUUAUACCUUCACCCUUUGAGCUCCAAAACAAUGCCCAAAAACCAACCUAAUCUUUUUUUUUUCCCUUUUUCUGAACUAUUUCAUCAAGAUCCAAAAGCCCUAGAUGUUAUUUAUAUUUGAACAUAGAGAAUACCUAAAAUAAACAAUCCAACGCAUGGGUGGGAUAAACUUAGCUCAAUAAAUUUGGCUUAAUAUUAACCCUUAAAGUUACCCAUUCAUGGUCUAUUAAUGAAUAUAAAUAAAAUUUUUUGAAAACCUUUUCGAUACAAAAAAUAAAAGAUUUGAUAACAAAAAUUGAAAACUCACCUUAUAUGCUUUCUAUAACUGAAAUUUCGAGUGAACAAAAAACUAUUAACUUCAACUUUUUCAGCUAUUUUUAAAAUUAUUUAUUUUUAAUAUAAAUCUCUAUUAUUUAUAUAAACACUCGUACUAUCUUUUAUUUUCAAAAAUAAAAAAUAUACUCAAAGUCCAAUUAAAUUUUGUAGAAAAUGAAUCUUGAGCAAACUCUCUCGACCACGUUACUUUAUUAUUUACCUAAACAUGCUUAUCGAAAAUCAAUCAACCAUGUUGAGAAUUGAUAAUUUUGGGUAACUAGUAACACAUGGAAUCACAAGAAAGUUGAUGAAGUUGUUUUCCUCUCUAAAUUCCUAAAAGCUCACAUGCCACUCAUCUCUGAUGUUGUUAGCUCACUCAUCACACCCAUAAAACAAUAAACAAGAAGAGAUAAGGAAGAUCAUACCGCAACGACUUUCACAAAAGGUUGAUGAAAUAACUUAUACCUUCACCCUUUGAGCUCUAGAAUAGUGUCAAAAAAACAACCUAAUCUUUCUUUCCUUUUUCUGAACUACAUUUUACCAAGAUCCAAAAGCCCUAAAUUUUAUUUAUAUUUGGACAAAGAGAAUACCUAAAAUAAAUAGCCUAAUGCAUGGGCUUAGAAAUAAACUAAGCUCAACAAAUUUAGCAUAUAAUAUUAACCUUAAAAUUACCCAUUCAAGGUUUAUUAAAUCAAAAUCAAAAUAAAUUUUCAAAAACCUUUUCUAUACAAAAAAUGAAAAUUUUGAUAGAAAAAUUUCAAAGCCUAUGUUAUAUGCUUUCUAUAACUAAAGUUUCAUGUGAACAAAAAAUUGCUAACUUCAAAAUUUUAAACUAUUUUAAAAAUUAUUUAAUUUUAAAAUAAAUCACUAUUAUUUCUAUAAGAACACAUAUUAUCUUUUAUUUUCAAAAAUGAAAAAUGUAAAGUCCACUUAAAUUUUGUAGAAAAUGAACCUUGAGCAAACUUUCCUAGUGACAUUAUUUUAUCAUUUACUUACAAAUUUAUGUUUACCAAAAAUCAAUCAACGAACUGAGAAUUGAUAAUUCUAGGUAGCUAGCAAAAUAUAGAAUCACAAGACAACUGAUGAAGAGUAUGUAUAUUCUGGUCUCUACCUCUCUGAAUUCCUCAAAGCACACAUAUCACUUCUCAAAGAUGUAAUCCAUGAACACGCUCGUCACACCCAUAAAACAAUCAAUAAGAAGAGAUCAUACUAUAAGGGCUUCCCCAAAAGAUUGGUGAAAGAACUUAUACCUUAACCCAUGUAGCUCUAAAGCAAUGCCUAGAAAACAACCUAAUUUUUCUUUCUUUUUUUUGCACCCAUUUUCACCAAGAUCCCAAAGCCCUAGGUGUUAUUUAUAUUUAGACUUAGAGAAUUCCUAAAAAACAAAUUAAUAGGCAAAUGCAUGGGAGGAGAAAACUUUUCAUGGGCAGGAUAAACUUAGCUCAACAAAUUAAGCUUAAUAUUAAACCUUAAAAUUACCAUUCAACAUGUAUUACAUAAAAAUAAAAUAAAAUUUUUCGAAAACCAUUUGUAUACAAGAAAUAAGAAAAUUUAGAGAAAAGAUUGAAAACUUAUAUUAUAUGCUCUUUAUAACUAAAAUUUCAAGUGAACUAAAAAAUGUCAACUUCAAAUUUUUAAGCUAUUUUUAAAAUUAUUUAUUUUUAAGGUAAAUCUCUAUUAUUUAUAUAAGGACUAAUACUAUCUUUUAUUUUUAAAAAUAAAAUAUGUAUUCAGAGUUCAUUAAAAUUUUGUAGAAAAUGAAUCUUUAGGGAAACUCUCCUAUUCACAUUAUUUUAUCAUUUUCCUAAAGAUUUAAGCUUAUUGAAAAUCAAUUAACCACAUUGAGAAUUAAUAAUUCUGGGUAGCUAGUAACACAUGGAAUCACAAGAAAGCUAAUGGAGACUAUGUAUAUUCUGGUAUCUUACUUUUUGAAUUCCUCAAAUCUUGCACACUAAUCAUCAAAGAUGAUGUCCAUGAGUUCACUCGUCAUGCCCCAUGAAACAAUGAACAAGAAGAGAUUAGGUAGAUCAUACCGUAGGGGCUUCUCCUAAAUGUUGAUGAAAGAACUCAUACCUUCACCCUUUGUGCUAUGGAACAAUGCCAAGAAAACAAUGUAAUUUUUCUUUUCUUUUUCUGAAACACUUUUAACAAAGAUCCAAAAGCCCUAGAUGCUAUUUAUAUUUGGACAUAGAGAAUAACUAAAAGAAAUAGUCCAAUGCAUAGGCUUAGAAAACUUAAAUAGUUAUCAAAGAGUUGUUAACACAUUAUCUAUAAUACAAAUGUCAACCAGAACACUUAAAUAGUUACUCAAAAUAUAACAUGUCAAUAUUUGAGUAUUCAUGAAGAGUUUUUCAUACUAAUAAAUCUAAAAUUCAUGUCUUUAUUCAUUUUGAAAAUUGGGAUAUGGUGAUUCAAAUUGAGCAUUUGAAAAACCAAAGUUCCCCAAAUCAACCACUUCUAGAGUCAUGUCACCACCAUCCUCGUCAUCUACAAAAAUAUUAAAUAUAUAUUAAUAAGAGAUCAUUUUUAAAGAAAAAAAUAGUAAUUAUUGAACUUUUAUAAGUUUACAUAUUCUACUAAUCAAUGAGAGCUUGCAGCUGAACUUGAACCUUCUACUUCAUUUAUUGGAAUUAAUCCUUCUUCAUAUAGAAGAUUUUCUAAUUCUUCCACAUCUAGCUCUCUUGGCUCAUCCUCAUCAACUAAACAAAAAUCAGUUUCAUCAAUGCAUGCAUAAUCAAUGGGAUCAUAGGUCAUUUUCUUGUUGUACAACCUAAAAAAGAAAAACAUAUAAUUAUUCAUAAUUGUCAAUGAAAAAUUUUAAAUUCAAAACAACUAAGAAAGUAUUUAUAUUGAAUUUUUAGCCACAAAUUGUAAUGAACGUAUACAAGAUCAUUAAGUCUUUCAUUUUUCAAUCUAUUCCUUUUUUUUGGUAUAUGUGUAUAUGUUCAAACACACUUUUCAUAACUUUUUGAUUAAUAACAUCUAUGACAUCUCCAAUAACUUCUUGCUUAUUACAAUUUUUUUUUUUUUUUUUAAUAUUGGAAACAUGGAUUCAACCAAUAAGCUACUGAAUGAAUGCUUUUCUUUGGUUGUUCAUCCUAACGUUCCUUUAUGAUUUGUGUAUAAGGCUUGUAUAGUCUUUUAUUGUGUUUAAAUAAUUUCUUGAUACCCAAACGAGCAUUAUACAUGCCUUUAUACACAUAUCCCAUCGAAGGCCUCUCAUCACAAUCAACAAUAUGUAAUAAGAGCACAAGUGGAGCAAUGAGAUUCAUAACCAUCAAACAAUCAUUUCAGAAUAUAUUAUCCAAGAUGAUAGAAACUACAACUCUGCUUUUAUUAUCCAUUAAAUACUUAGAGUCCACAAAAAACUUGCUAGUCACCAAAGCUUGCAAGUCAUGUUUAUGAUCAUGAAGACUCUUUAGUGCAAUGAAUGUAGUAGCAAAGUGAGUUGCACUAGGUCGAAGAAUCUCUAUCCAUCCUUCUCUUUUUCUCAACCAACUUAACAAAGCAACAUGAUUACACACAAAAAUUGUCACCUUUGAUGCAUGUCUUACAAGUUCAGCAACAUAGUCCAUCUUACUAAUAUCCUUAAAGAUCAAAUUAAGACAAUAAGUUGUACAAGGUGACCAAUUGAUUUGUUUAUACUUCUAAGAAAUCAAUCUCCUUAAGACCACAUAAUUUGUUGCAUUAUCAAUCACUACAUGAACUACAUUGAGUGAACCAACCCAUUCAAUCCCUCAUCAAAUAGCAUAAACAAAGUAGUUGCAUCAUUCACAAUAUUCGAAGCAUCAAUAGAUUUACAAAUUAUUUUCUCUUCUUAAAAACAUAAAAAAAGAAAAAAAAAUCUGACACUAUAUUUUAAGAGAACAUCUUUUGGUUAUUUUUAAUUGUUUUCACUUGUUUUUUGAAAUCUAUUUUAAAAAAUAAUUAUACAAAUAUGGGGAAUCAUUAAAAAUAAAAUAUUAUAGAUAAAAAAUUAUUUUAAAAUAUAGAAAAUAUGUUAAAACAUUUCAGAUUUUCAAAUAAACUUUGUUCUAUAAAACAUUAAAGAAUAAUUUUAAAAAAAAAUUGUUUUUCAGAUUUAGUUUUUUAAAAAAAAUACUUUUCAAACAAAACCUUAACAAUUUUGUUUAUCAAAUUCUAAUCCCAACUCUAAUCAUAAUCAUAAUUACUUUCCUUGUCUUUCCUUUCCUUUCUUUUCCUUCCCUUCUAUUCCCUUAUUAUAUAUAAGUAUUUAAAUUAAGACAUUAAAUCAGUUUAUCAAACCCAUCUUAAUCAAUCAGUUAAUCAUAAGCAUCAUGUCAAAGACUUUUAAACCACUAGGUGGAUCCACUCAUCCAUCAUUCACGAUGGAUUAAUCCAUGGAAAGAUAACAACAUCUUCUUAGACUUGUACAUGUGGAUAGCUAUUAGAAAAAAAAAAACAAAAUUUAAUGCACAAAAAUUGGGAUAAAGAAAUAAAAGAAACUCAUCAACAAAACCUAUCUUUUUCUAUUUUAUUUUAUUUUACUUCUAACACUUAAGUAAGGUCUUUAGGUCAAUGAAUAUGCAAAAUUUGAAAUGAUUUGCCUAAAGUUCAUAUGUUAAAACUCGGGUUUUAAUGGAAAUUUAACUUUGAUGCAUAAACCAAGUUUUUAAAGAUGCAUGAAAAGAUAUGAAAAUCCUAAGUGCACCCAUGCAUUCAUCUUACAUGUAUUUCCUAUGAUUAAAGGGUCUUCCAUUUGUGUUGAUCUUGCAUCCAUUGGGUCCUAUAAUGAAUUUCUUGAAUAUCCUUUUGAAUUUUAACUAAAACUUGAAAUUCUUUUUUAAUUCAAAACAAUUAGCAACUUAACCAUGAUUUGUUAUCAUCAAAACACAAUUAGGAGAACCAUUGGGCUAACAGCUUAAACACUUAUUUUGGUAACUUUCUUAAUUAUAAAUUAUAUAUCUUAAUUUCCAAAAUUAACUUAUUUUCUUUAAUUUCAAAAUCUUAUUCAAAAUAAGAAAAAUAUUAUUUUAUAAAGAUUUGGAAAAUAAAAGCUUUUCCUUAAAAGAAAGAUUUUAUUCUUAGAGAUCUCAAAGAUUUGAGAAGAUUUUAAAUAAAAUUAAAAUCUCUAAAAAUUAAUUUUAAAAGGGAAAUAAAGUUCUUGAUCCUUUUCGAAUUUAUUUUUUCUUAAAAUAAAAUUUCUAACCAUGCACAUUCCAAUUUAAAUAAGUUUUCUAAUUUUGAAAAAUUCAUAAAAAUUUAUUUCUAAUUAAUAAUACCAUUAUUAUUUAGGGUCACAUAUGUAAUUAAUAAAGAUAACAUAUAAUAAAAACAAGGGAAUAAUUAAAUAGAAAUAUUUCUCAUGGCCUUUAUGGAUUUUAUUGCAUAUUUGGUAAUUAAAAUUAGGACAAAAUCCAAAUUACUAAAAUAGCCUUAUAGCCAAAGAUUAAGUUUAGUAAAAAUUGAAAAACCCCAAAACACCCAAUUACCACAAAAUAAUGAGCCUAAGAAAAUGGCCAAACAACCAAAAACAAUUUGGCCUGAACUUAAUCCUAAAACAACUUGAUUUUUGCAUAGCCUUGCUUCAAUCGACUAUAUCUCUUGUUUCAAUUCCAAAUUGCAAAUCGUUUAAAGUGUUGGAUUCCCAACUUCUUAAGCUUGAAAACAAUAUAUGGCUUGCCCUAAGAAACUCAUGGGACUUAGCCCCAAUUUUGAGUCGAAGUCAACAUCAUUGUGUUAUCAUGCUCUUUGUGCAGCCUUGCUUCAAUUAGUCAUAUCUCCCUUGUUUCAACUUUGAAUUGUGAUCCAUUUAAAGCAUUGAAUUCCUGAAUUCCUAAGCUUCAAAAACCUCAUGAGAAAUAGUCUCAAGUUUGAGUUAAAGUUGAUGCCACCAUGUUGCCAAGAAUAUUUAUUAUUAUUUUUUUCUUAAAUCACAAUAGGAUUACAAAAAGAAACUUCAAGAUUCUUUCUUUUCUCUUGGGUCACCACAGAUGAAUGUAAAAAACUAAAAUUUUUAUAAUAAUAAAAAUUAUUAUGCUCCUUUAAUAGAGCUUACAACUCAUCUAUUGAGGAAAAAAAAAAACCUCUUACAAUCAAAUAAAAAUCUUUUACCCUUUAUGGAUUGUACAACCCAAUCUAGAGAAAACAAAGAAUCCAAUCAUAAUUAUAACCAUCAUGUUAUAUUGAAAACCCACAUAUAAUUGUCCUCGAGGCCAUGGAAUAAACCAAAAUACCCUAUAAAAUAGAGUUAGCAUGCCCUAGAGAUGAUCUAACACACAAAAACCUACCUUAGGGCUCUGAUACCAGUUGUUGGGAACCCUAAAUUUCUUCAUUCCCUAUCUUUAAAUCUCGUAGGGUGAAUACAUCUAUCCCUAACGAUCUUUAGAUUUAACACAUUGGAAAAAAAUGGCUUCAAAAACUAUUUUAGAAUAAAGAUAUAGAGAUUUGAAACUCAUACUUGGAUCUAGAUGUUCUCAUAUCAAUUCCUAGUUGUGAAGAACAUGCUUGAAGGUCUCAUACACCCAAGAUAUUCCGACCGAUGACUUAAACCACAAUCUUGACACUCUAAAUUCCCUAGCUUCAAAAUCAUAUGCGGCUUACCCUAAUAAACUCAUGGGAGAUAGUCCCGAUUUUAAGUUAAAGUUGAUGUCGUUGUGUUCCCAUGGAUCUCAAAACAAGAACUUCCAAGAAUAUUUCUUUUUUCUUAAAUCACCAUAGGAUUACAAAAAAAGAAACUUCAAGAUUCUUUCUUUUCUCUUGGGUCACCAUAAAUGGAUAUAAAAAGAUGAAAUUUUUACAAUAAUAAAAAUUCUUAUGCUCCUAUAAUGGAGCUUAUAACUCAUCUAUUGAAAAGAAAAUAUUAUUACAAUGAAAUAAAAAUCCUUUACCCCUUAUGGGGUGUACAACCUAAUCUAGAGAAAACAAAGAAUCUAAUCAUAAUUAUAACCAUCAUGUUACAUUGAAAGCCUACAGACAUUCAUCCCUAAGGCCAUGGGAUAAAUUAGAAUACCCUACAAAAUAGAGUUAGCACACCCUGGGAACAUAUCUGACAUGAAAAAACCCAUCUUAGGGCUCUAAUACCAGUUGUUGGGAACCUUGAAUUUCUCAAUUCCUUAUCCUUGAAUUUCGUAGAGUGCAUGCAUCUAUUCCUAACAAUCUUUAGAUCUAACAUAACGAAAAAAUGGCUUCAAAAACCAUUUUAGAAUAAAGAUCUAGAGAUUUGAAACUCAUACCUAGAUCUGGAUGUUCUCAAAGCAAUUCCUAGCGGUGAAGAACAUGCCUAUAAGUCUCAUACACCCAAGAUAUUCUAGUCAAUGACUUAAACCAUGAUCUUGACACUCCAAAGUGUGGGUUUUGGAAGGAAGGAAUCUUAGGCUCUCUCUCUUUCUCUCUCUAGAGGUGGAAGACGACUUUUACACUAAAAAGUGAUGGGAAUCCUAAUCCCUAAGAGGUAUUUAUAAGGUUCCCCUAUUAGGCUUAACUGACUUAAGCCACCAAGGCUUAGGUCACUUGAUCUAACUCAAAAUGGGUUUUAAUUGAUUAAUUAGCCACACAAGGUCAUCUAAUUAAUUGAUUAGCCCAAUUCAAAGAACUUGUUUAUUAUCCCCUGUGGAACCUUACAUAAUUACCAAAAUGCCAUUAUGCAUAAAAAUGAACUGAGAACCAAUCCAACCAUUAUAAACCAUGUCAUCAUGGUAUAUGAGCUCAGAAUAGGAACUAUUGGGACCCAUAGGAGUAUUAGCUCCUUCAUAAUCCAAUUUUGAAGUUGAUUCAACAUUCCACUAAAGAGAAUCAACUGCACUCUAGCACCCUUACGUAAAUAACAACGAGACAAAGCUUGGGUAUGUGACUUAUUGUCCAUUGUAUGUAGACUCCCUAUAAACUAGUGUUUGUAACCUAAUAAGGUAAUGCUAUCACCUACCAAGAUCACCUAUCAAAUUCUUGAGUUACAGAUCUUACUUAUUUUGUGAUCAACUAGCAUACUCUAACUCUAAGAAGCAUAUGUUAAAUUCCACUAAAGGAAGUAUUACAAUCAUAGAUUUCGUGAUCACAUUUCCUUUGGAUCACCCAAUGGGACACAUUGUCUCAAUCCUAUGAGAUAUCAUGGUGCCUCUAUUGAGAAUACCUGUUACCACCAGCCUUCAUCAACAAUGAUCAAUAAGAAUAUAUGACCAUUUUAGUAUCUCACUUAUAGGUCAAAGCCUCAUGUUGAUUUCAACACAAGCUCAAUAACAAUUGAUAGUCUUACGUCAUGAUUCAAUGUAGGUUCUGUCUAGUGUGCAUCAUAUACACUAGUGUGCUCACUAUUGGAAACUCAUCCCGACAGCUAAGACAAGUCUCAUUCCAAUUAGGAGGUAGUGUACUAACCUUUAUUGGACUGCCCAAAUCCAUGAACUGAAUAUAAACAAAUUAUCUACUUACAAGAAACUAAUGACUUAUAUCCUUUAUGCAACUCCUAAUGCACCUAAGUCGUGUAUAAUGUAAGAGAUAUGGACUGAAUGCUCAAAUUAAUUUCAAUGCAUAAAAGGGAUAGUAAGAAGAUAGUCAAGUUUGACUUCAUACAUCAUGUCUUUCUUUUAGGGGCUUAAUCCCAAUAGUGUUCUACCUCCUAAUUAGAUGGAUAACUUGUCUUGGUCAUCGCGAUAAUUUUCCCAUUGUGAGUGUACUAGUGUAUGUGAUGCACACUGAAUAGAACUUAUGGUGAAUCAUGAUGUAAGGGUAUCAAUUGCCAUAAUUCACUAAGCUACUAUAUUGUAUGGACUUUCAACCUUGAGAGGAUAUUAAGUUUGUACCAAAGUCAAUAAGAGACUUUGACCUAUAAGUGAGAUCCUAGGGUGCAUGGUCACAUAUCCUUGUGGAUUGGGUCAUUGUUGAUGAAAGUUGGUGACAACAGGAAUUCUUAAUAGAGACACCAUGAUAUCUUAUAAGAUUGAGACAAUGAGUCCUCUUGGGUAAUCUAAAGGACAUGUGAUUUAGAAGACUAUGACCAUAACUUUUCCUUUAAUGGAAAUUUAACAUAUACUCAUUAAAGCUAGAGUUUGUCAAUUGAUCACAUAAUAUGUGGGAUAUGUAACUCAAGGUUGGAGAGGUAAUCUUGAAAGGUGAUAACUCUACCUAGUUAAAUUACAAACACUAGUUCAUGGGGAGUUUACAUGCAAUGAAUGGUAGGUCAGGACCCUAACUUUGUCUCAUUGUUAUUUAUAUAGGAUAUUGGAGUAUAGUUGAGUCUUUAUAAUGGGAUGUUGAAUCAACUCUAGAAUUGGAUUCUUAGGGGGUUAGUACUCCUAUGGGUCCCAUUAGUCCCCGCUCUAAACUCAUAUACCAUGAUGACAUGGUUUAUAAAGGGUUGGAUUGGGUUUAGGUUCACUCUUGUGCAUAAGGGUGUUUUGGUAAUUAUGCAAGGUGCACAAGGAUAGUGAACAAGGUUUCUAGAUUGAGCUAAUUAAUUAAUUAGAUUGUCUUGCAAGGUUAAUUAAUCAAUUCAGGCCUAAUUUGGGUAAGAUUAAGUGGUUGAUGCCUAUGUGGGCUCAUGUCACUUAAACUUAGUGGGAGAAUCCUAUAAAUACCCCCUUUAAGGGUUAGAGUUUCUUAAUCACUUUUAACGUCAUAUUUCAUUUUAUAGAGUGAGAGUCAAACCUUCCUCUUUUCCAUUGCCCACCUUUUGGAGUGUCAAGAUUAUGGUUAGAGUCAUUGAACAAAAGAUCUUGGGCGUACAAGACCUCUAGAUUCUUCAAACUUCUUCACCACAUGGAAUGGAUUUAGGAAUAUCCAAAUCAGAGGUAAAGUGUUUUGUAGCCUUUAAUUUAGAUCCUUGAAUGUUAAAAAUGCUAUUUUUGCUUUCAUUGUAUAGGAUCUAGAGGUCUAGGGUAGAUUGCAUGUAGGUACGAUCCAAGGCACGAAAAUAGAGAAAUCCAGGGUUCCCAUCACUUCCAUUAUCCUUGCACAUAUAGCUUCCUUGCAAAAUUCCUCUAAAAGCUUGUCAUUUCGCUUUAUUUUGUUGCAUUUCUUCUCAAAUACGUGCACUAGCUCUCAAAAGGACUUAAGUUUGUAUUCAAGGUAAAAUACACUUUAAGUGUUGUUUGUUUGUUUUUAACUUAUUGUUGAAAGUAAUUUGCUUUUAGAAUUCAAUUGAUCUCUUUUUACUUUUUAUUUGACUUAUUAUUUAUUCUUAAAUGUUUUUCACUAAAUAGAAAAAAAUAUAUCAAAAUAUGACUUUUUUUAAAACAAGAAGUGAUUUAUUCGUCCCUCAUCCUCAACCUAGUAAAACACAAUAUCAACAUUCAUCCCUUAUCUCAUCUCAUCCUAGCCACUCAGUUUUAUACUUUGUCCCAUUCAACACCAUGCCCCUACUACCAUUAUCGUCACAAUUGCCUAUCAGCAUCCCACUUGCCACCACUCUCAUUAAAGUCACACAACAAUAUUUUAACCAUAUUUAAUUUUAAAAUAUUUUAUUUUGAUUAUAUAAAAUAAAAAUAAAAAUAAAAAUUAUUUUUUCAAGGAUAAUAAUGAUAAAUUAUUUAUUAUAAUAAUUGGUUUUAUUUUAAGAUUUGUAGAAAUAUGUUAAACUUUUUGGUCAAUAAGAAUUAGUAUAAAAAUUAUUUUUCUUACUGCAUUUAGAUGUUGAUUUUUAGCACAUGAAAAGCAAACAACUUAAUACUUAAUAAAAAAUAAAAUAUUAAAAACAACAACAACAACUUAACACUUAACACUCUUAACCAUUAUUUAUUCUUAAGUUAAAUUUGUUAUCUGUCCAACAUCACCCAUUAUUAUACACCCAAUUUUUACCCAAAUUUUACAAUAAGAAUUUACAAGUAACUGAACUUCCUUCUUGGCAUCCUUUAAAUUAUUAAACCAUAGUUGACGGUAAGUUGAACCCUUAUAUCCAAGACAAAUUACGAAUAUAGCAUCCAACAUUGGCGUGAAGUAGAAGGAAUUCACAACAUUAAUAGGAAUGCAUGCAUCAUAAAAGAAUCUCUCAACAACCAUAUCUACUCUCCAAAUAGCUUAUUUCCUAGCUAAUACACUCCUAAUGGAAGGUUGAGCUCCUUAAGUAGUUCUUGGUGCAAAAUACUUAUCCAUUGUUGAUUUUCUUCUUUUUCCACUACUAGUUGCCAUAGGAUUUUACAUAUCUUGAACCUCUUCUCCACAUUUUGGCAUAUCCCCUUCAAAUUGUGACACCUUAAGACCAUAAUUCAUAUGUUUCUUGGAUUUCACAAACUCCUACAAAGAAUUUUCCAUUUGAAAUCUACAUUAGGAGGAAUUGAUUUACAUGGACCAAUAUCUUGUUUCACUCCAACAAGGUGUUGUUUCAGUUUUAUGAAUUCCCCUACCUUUUGCAACUUUUUUACAAUAUAAACAAACAAGAACUUUCCUUCCAUUUGUAUUUUUUUCUUUAGAAACAUGCUCCUAUGUAGGGUUGGUGUUGUCUCUACUUGUUUGUGAAUUUGUAUUUGAAUCUUGACCAGAGGAUGGGGUCAAGUUUGAUUCCAUUUUGAUUUUUCUAUAAAAUUGUAAACAAAAACAACAAUUUUAAUCACCAUUCAAUGCAUUCAUCAAUAAAAAAUAUGACUUCAAUCAAGUCAUCCACAAUUUAAAAAAAUAAAAGAAUUAAAGAAUUUAUUAUAUAAAAUUCUUUCAAAAUCAGAAAUUUACUUUCAAAUAGAAAAUUUAUUUAAAAUUUUAAAACAAGAUUUUUAUUUAAAAAUUAGAAAAUUUAAAUUUAUUUAAAAUUAUCUAAAAAAUGCAACAUAAUGUUUGAUUCAUUGAUUAUUUCCAAAAAAUUAUUUUAAUUUCUAAUGUUUUUAAUUAUUUUAAUAAUUUAUUUAAACUCAAAUAAGAUAUUUUAAAAAUCAAUAUAAAAUUUAAAAAAAUAAAAUGAAAAUAAAGUAAAGAAAUAAAUAAAUCUAAACAAAUGAUUCAAUUAUUCAAAUGAAAUUUCAAUGAAUAUUGAUAUUGUAAUUUAAUAAAUCAAUAUGCAAUAAAAUUAUAAAAUAUUAAAUAUUAAAAAAAUUAAAUAAAUUGCAAGAUUCCAAAGUUUAAACUCAUAAUGGGAGAUUUGGAAUCCAGUGCGGUCAUCAGCAUGUGGAGGCGAUGGCUUCUCCAAUGUGGUGCGCAACUAUUGGAGACGUGCGUGCUAGUAAGGAGGGAAGGUAAAAAAAUGGCUUAUAUACAGAGCAAAACGACGUUGUUUCGAUGCCAAAUGCAUCAAAACAACGCUAUUUUGAUGGCAAAAAAAUAAAAAAGGUAUGAACCAUUUAGUUUGGGGGAAACCAGCUGAUUCACCAAUAAGACUGCUAAUUUCGAUGGUUGGAGGAUAGUCCAACCCUUCGACGGUUUAAAUCACCAAAGCAAACCGAAAAAUUGACUGAUCGAAAGUCAAACCGAUUGGAUCGACCGAUCUGGUCUGAUUUUUAAAAUCAUGUUCAUACCUUUAAAAUUUGUUUAGAAAAUUAAGAGAAACUCAUACAUAUAUAGUGUUUGAAACAUUUUUCCCAAUUCGAUGUGGAAUAAAUAUCACAUAUAUUCCCUCAAAAUGUUGAUUCCAAGUAGAUGGGCAAAUGAACAAUUUAGUAUUAAAAAGAAAAAAAAAAUACAUGGAUGGUAAUGUGUAUUAAUUCAUUUUUGACUCUCGUUAUAACACCCCACAUUUAUUGUUAGGGCAGUACUGUAAAUUAGAAUAAAAUAUAAAUAAAUAAAUUUAAUAAGGGUAUAAAGACCUUUUUUGCAUUAAAAGUCCUAGUUAUAAAUUAGAUUUUCUUUGUCUUCUUCAUUCAGAAAACCCUAUUAUACAUGGAUGGAAAUUCAAAAAUCAACAAAUCUCAACUUUUAAACCAACAUAUCAACAAUAGAAUUUUUUUGUCCAAGCAAUUUCAAACUUAAAACAAUAGCUAACAGUAAUCAAAUUCUAACAUUUAACAAAGUCCCAAAAAGAGAGUUUAAACAAAUGUCCUAAUAAAGCCAAAUUUAUCAUCCUAACUGUCACUCCUCGCCUGAAUUGAGGAUACUUGAAAUAUUAUCAAUAAAUGGGAAUGAGCUCAAAACUCAAUAAGGAACAUUAAUGUACAAUUUCAUGGAUCAAAUAGUUUCAAUCAUGCUUACAAAUGGGAGAUAUAAGGUUAAGUUCAAAUAUUCUAAUACAUUUUAAUCUGUUCAACCAAACAUUUUCAUAUAUAUCAAAACCAUUUCACAUCAAAUCCAAAUCAAACACAUUUAAAAUAUUUUCACUCUGAUUAUCAUAUAACAAAUGGUGCAUAAUUGGGUGGGAUUUUACAAAUGAGUGACUAGUUUCAAAUUUGUUCUAUUUAAGGUGAACAAAACAAAUGUCAACAAUUACAACCCAUUGCCUAGGGUCAUAUAAUAUCAAUUAUUAUAACCCAUUGACUAGGGUCGAAAAUGUCAACAAUUAUAACUCGUUGACUAGAGUUAUAAAAACUAGAGUCAAACACUUCAUUUCAUUAAUUCAAACUUACAAAACAAAAUAUCAUAUUUCUACAAUUUUUAUCUUUCAUAAACAAAGAAAAUGCUUAAACAUAUUUUUCAUACAAAACAUAUAUUUGAUCCAUGUAUAAAAAUAAAAAUAAAAAUUUUCAUAAAUCAAAAUAAAAUUUAAAAAGAAAUACUUUCUUUUACAAAAUCUAUAUUAAUUUCCCUUACCUCAUAGAAGCACUAAAAAACCUUGAAGUAUUUAAUCCUAAAGAGUUUUGCCCCAAAGAACCUAUUUCAAACUUAACAAAAAAAGACAUAACUAUUACUAUUAACUAUUUAUCUAAAUGAAGGGCUUGAGAAUCCUAAUAAUUUUAGGGAGCUCUCUACUACAAAAAUAGUUUAUGGUGUCACUAUUUACGGUGUCACUUUUAAAAUAAUGACACCAUAAGGUUUAUAAUUAAUAAAGGUGACACAUCAUAUAAAAAAUCUUCAAUUGAGGUAGUUAGAUGAUAUUAAUUUUAUAUUUAUAGUGUCAUUUUUUGGGAAGUGACAUUAUAUAAAAUAAAUUUUUUUAAGUACUAUAACUUAAUGAGCCCACUUUUAGAAUUAAUAAUGAUGGAUACUAUAUAAAAAUCCCAUUGUUUCCAUAUCUCACCCACAAUCCAAAAAAUCUCAAUAUAUAAAUCCUAUAUAUAAAAUCAUGAUCUUCUUCAACCUUUUCUCUCAUCCAUCCAUAGUCAACACGCUCAAAACCGACAUUCUUCACUUUAUGGACUCCCAGGUAACCCAAAAUCUCUUGGAUCUAUCAUUUUUUUUUCUUUUAUUAAUGCCAUUAUAUUAAUUGUUUCAACAUCUUUGUACUAUGGUUUUUGUGAAUUGUGUUUUCUUGAGUUGUAGGGAAGAAAAAUUUAGGUUUAAUCUUCUAGCAUGGAAGAAAAAACUAUAGAUUAAUUGAUUUUUUUAAUCUAAACCAAACACAUGAUCAAGUCCUUAAAAAAAAGUGAAAAAUAGGAAAAAAUGAAUGAUUUUUAAUAUGUAUUUGUGUGAGAAUGACAGGUACAAAUUUUUUUUAAGAUAUACUAUCACAUAAUCUUCAUCCUUUCUAAAAAACGAGAGAGGAAAAAAAAAAAGAAUGAUUUUUCUGUUUGUAUCUAAGUGGGAAUGAGAUAUAGAAUUUCGUUGAGAGUAUCCAACCCCAAAAGGACCAAUCCGGGAAGGCAUGUGUGGUAUUGACGGGAGAUGAUAAGAUGGAAAUCAUAACCAUAGCCAUGUUCUCUCUGUGUCUUUCUAUCCUCUUCAAUUAAUUUAUGGGCAUAGAUAUUUUAUUUAGUUUUUAUAUUUAGUUUAUUUAUAGUUUAUUUAGUUUCUAAAAUCCAAUUAGUUAGAUAUUUUAUUUGAUCUUGUUUUUAUAUUUAAGUAUUUGAGUUUUGGAAAGUUUUUAUAUUUUGUUAAUAGAAAUAGAAAUUUUUAUAUUUUUUAUUAUUAGGAAUUUCUAUUUUGUUAAAUUGUAAGUAUCUAUCUCAAUAAGAGAUUAUUAAUAUUCAAAUGAAAGUGAUGAAAGAGAGUAAAUAUUUUAAUGCUCAAUUAUAUUUUAAUGUUAUUUUUUUUUUUACAUAAGGGUUUAUUUAUGUUUUCAAUUUUGAAGUUCUCUUUCCAAGUCCAGCAACAAAAGUAGUGUCCAACCUUAAAAUGGGCAUGUGUGGUAUUGACGGGAGAUGAUAAGAUGGAAAUCAUAACCAUAGCCAUGUUCUCUUUGUGUCUUUCUAUCAUCUUCAAUUAAUUCAUGGGCAUAGAUAUUUUAUUUAGUUUUUAUAUUUAGUUUAUUUAGUUUCUAAAAUCCAAUUAGCUAGAUAUUUUAUUUGAUUUUAUUUUUAUAUUUAAGUAGUUGAGUUUUGGAAAUUUUUUAUAUUUUGUUAAUAGAAAUAGAAAUUUUAUAUUUUUUAUUAUUAGGAAUUUCUAUUUUGUUAAAUUGUAAGUAUCUAUCUCAAUAAGAGAUUAUUAAUAUUCAAAUGAAAGUGAUGAAAGAGAGUAAAUAUUUUAAUGUUAUUUUUUUUACAUAAGGGUUUAUUUAUGUUUUCAAUUUUGAAGUUCCCUUUCCAAGUCCAACAACAAAAGUAGUGUCCAACCUUAAAAUGGGCAUGUGUGGUAUUGACAGGAAAUGAUAAGAUGAAAAUCAUAACCAUAGUCAUGUUCUCUCUGUGUCUUUCUAUCCUCUUCAAUUAAUUCAUGGGCACAGAUAUUUUAUUUAGUUUUUAUAUUUAGUUUAUUUAGUUUCUAAAAUCCAAUUAGCUAGAUAUUUUAUUUGAUUUUGUUUUUAUAUUUAAGUAGUUAAGUUUUGGAAAGUUUUUAUAUUUUGUUAAUAAAAAUAGAUAUGAGGACUUAAAGGGUUUAUAUUUAGGUAGUGCUUGAGCCAAGGAAAAUGAUAGUCCACUGUCUUGACCCUAUGCAUCACAAACCAUGUGAGGACUUAAAGGAUAUCGUAAACAUGUAAGUUCUUCCUAUUAUUUUUCAUAGUAUUAUUUUUAAAUAAAAAAAAAUACAUUCACCUCAAACACAUUUUUUUUAUUAUUUAUAUAUAUUAAAACAUAUAACAUUUACCUAUUUUAAAAAUGUACCCAUUGAACUUAUUUACAUAGGGCUCUUCGAAUAUCUGCAAAGAAAACAUCUAAGAGGGAGCCAUCUUAGCAACUAGUGCAGGUGACAUCCAAAAAUUUUUCUUUACACAUUAGCUUAUGCAUUUGCACCAUUUAUAUAUGUGAGUACUAAUGUUAUUUUAUAAUUGAUCGAUUAGUGUCCAAGACAAGAAGGAGGGUUCGAAUGUGGCUACUUUGUUAUGAGAUUCAUUAAAGAGAUAAUUUUUUAUCCUACAAUUAUUGCUUCAAAGGUAUUACUUAUUUAAUGAAUUGUACAUAGUUUUAGGCUUCCAAAUGUUAUGCAUUUUAAUGUUAUUUUCUUAUUUGCUUUAAGUUUGGUAAUAAAAAAACAUAUUCUCAAGUAGAAUUUGAUGAAAUUAGAGGAGAAUGGGCUACUUUUGUGCUACAACUAAUCAUGAAUCAUGUUGAUGCAUCAUGAUCACCAUGCAUGGUGAGUCCCUUAGCUACUACAUGAAUUUUUCCAUAGGUAUUGUAUAGUAAUGUUUAUUCUUUGAAUAAUGUUUCUAUUUGAAAAAAAAAAAAAUUAAUUCUUAGAUUUGUUCAUUUAUGAUAACAUAGAUCCAUGUUUAUUUUCUUCAAUAAAAAUCUCUAAAACUCAUUAAAUUUUGAAAUGCAGGUAUACACUCUUGGGAGGGUGAAAUGGAGAAUAAAAAGAAAGAAGAAGGCAACAAGAUUUUGGGUUUUUAAAUGCAACUCUUAUGUCAUACGUUGUAGGACAUAAAUGUUACUUUAAUUGCAACUGAGAAAUUUAGAUUUUUAUAUGGGACUUCUAUGUCAUUUUAUGGUUAGUCGGUUUUAUGCUUAUGAAAUGGAGGUAUACAUGAAUCUUGGGAUCUUUAACAUUUCUAAAUCAUGUUUUGGUAUGUAUUCACUCUUCUUUUUUAGUUUUGAUGGGUUUGAUAUGUUGGACGUACUAUCCUUUUGUGAACAUUUGAUAUACAAAUAUUAUUAGAUGAUCAAUGUAUUAUGAGUUAUUCCAGAAACAUUACAGAAAAAUGAGUUAAAUAUAAUAUGAUUGUUAUAUUUAUGGACAAAAUAUAAACAGGUUAAUCUUAUUAAUUCAUAAGCAUUACAAAAAUCAACAACUAAAACCAAUCAUAUAUUCCACAAUAAUUUACAAUGAUGUGAUACCAUAACUGAAAGGUGAUGCAUUUAAUGUGACAUCAUAACUCAAAGAUGAUGUAUUUAAUGUGACACUCUAUCAUCACUAGAAAUAUAUGGUGUCACUUCUGAAUGGGUCACCAUUUAUCUACUUUGGUGUCACUUCCAAAUACGUCACCAAUUGGUACCCUCUAUGGUGUCAAUGGAGAAGGUGACGCUAUGUUGUAGUGACAUCUUAUGUUUAUGGUGACUCGUUAUAAAUGUCACCAUAUACCUUUUUCCUUGUAGUAGAAUUAUCUUUUGGGGGUAGAUGGACUCCCAAAUUAACAAAAGGUCAUAUAACUCUUCAAAUUGAGUUAAAGGAUAUGAAAUAGUAACAGAUAAAUAUACUCUUUAAGAACACAUAUAAAAUAUUUUAUAAAAUUAAGUUAAAUAAUUUUUUUUCAAUAAUUUUUUUUUCAAAAAUACUAAAUUAAAUAAAAGUAGUUUUCAAAAAUAUUAAAUUAAAUAAUUUUUUUCAAAAAUAUUAAAUUAAUUUUUUUUUCAAAAAUAUUAAAUUAAAUUAAAGUAUUUAAAAAAAAUAUUAAAUUAAAUAUUUUUUAAAAUAUUAAAUUAAAUAAAAGUAUUUUAAAAAAUAUUAAAUUACAUAAAAGUAUUUUUAAAAAAUAUUAAAUUAAAUAAAAAAAUAUUAAAUUAAAUAAAAGAAUUUUUCAAAAAUAUUAAUUUUUUUCUCAAAAUCAACAAAGGGCAUUUUUGGAAAUACUGAAGGAUGAUAUCCUUCAACUCAAUUUUCAUACUUUCAUUGGGUCUUGGGCUCAAUUUGGAGAGUUACAUGGACCUUUUGCUAAUUUGGGGGCCCAUCUACCCCCAAAACAUAAUUCUCCCAUAAUUUUAUAUGUUAUGUCAUCUAUAUUAUUUUUAACUUCUUAAUCAAUAACAAUUUAAUACAUAAGUUUCUAAAUUCUUAUAGAAGUUUGAAUCUUUCCAAAAUUUAUUCCUAAGAUUCUAUUAAUUUAUUAUUAUUUUUUAAAAAUUAAAUUUCUCAAAAAUAUAUUUUUUCUAUUUAUUACAUUAAACUAUUAUUAUUACUAAUAUUUCAUUUAUUAGCUUAAAAUUAAAUAUUUUUAUUUUUAUUAAUUUUCAGAUUCAUUACAUAACCAAGGCAUUACCCUCUGUAUUCAGUGCACACACAACCCAAAAUAAAAACAAGGUUUCUUCCUACUGUCAUCAUUAUCAUUUAUUAUUAUAAUACUUUUUAUUUUCAACAUCUAACUUCCUUUCCAGUGCACACGCUUUUUCUUUCUAUCUUGUUUUUUUUUUCUUCUCAAGCCUACACUACUCUGCCACUCCACGUCCCCUCAUGUCUUCUAUUUGUUUAUUUAUUAUUAUUAUUAUAAUCCAUUUGUUUUCUUUUUCAAAAACAAUCUCGUGGUCAAGAUUCAUUUUUCUUUCUUAUAUUUUUUUCCUCAAUCUAAAGCCCCCAUAACUGAACUAUUUUAUUUAUUUCGUUUAAACCUAUAAUUUAUUUUCUUCUAUUUGUAUUUAUUUAUUUUAUCUAUUCAAUUGAAUAUUCAAAAUUUUCCUAUCUCCAUUAAUAAAUUAAUUUGUAUUGAUAAAUUUUUAAUAUUUUAAUCUAAAAAAAAUUAAAUAAACAAAUUAUAAUUUAGAUUAAAAUCUUUAAAAAUAAUUUUAAACGAAUCAAAACUAAUUAAGAAAAUUAAAAUAAUAAUUUCAAAGUUAAAAUUUUAUUUAUAAAAUUUGAAUUUUAAACCCUAGACUUUUAAAUCAUUAUCUUUACGUUUUUCAAUUCUUUAGCUAAAAGAGUUUUACUCAAAAGAAAAAAUAAAAAAAUUCUAAUUUAUUGGUAAAGAUAUUUAAUAGGGAAAGACUUUUUUAUUAUUGUUUAAUUUAUUUUAAUUAUGAUUUUAGCCUUGGAUUUGGUGCAUUACAGAAAUUUUUUAAAAAGUAAGAUAUUUUUAUUCAUUUAAAAUUUUUAUUUAAAACUUCAAACCUUGACUUGACAAAUUUUGGCCCAUAAAUCGAAGAACUUUAUGUGAAAGGUGUAGCUAUCCGAACCCUUCCUCCUCGAGGGAACGUGAAUCAUAAUUUUGUUGCUGGUUUUACAUUAAAAUGUGAUAAAUCUAGGAGUCAAUCUUCAACCAAGACCAACCACCAAUCAUACAAAAACGAUAAAGAAAAUAGAGUGAACCAGCAAAGCCCUGUCGUCAGUUCCUUUGCCCUGCAAUACUAUCCAGCCACUAGUGUCACUCCACCACGCAAAGCCCUCGAAACAUCCCUUUCGUUCUCUCUUUGCAGUAACUGCUAGUUAGUGAUGGAGCAAACUGAGCUGGUCUUCAUCCCAUUUCCUACCAUCGGCCACCUUUCGUCUGCACUGGAGAUUGCAAAGCUGCUUACUCAGCGAAACCCCCGAUUCUCAGUCACGAUCUUCAUCAUAAAGUUUCCGUUUGAGACCAUUGAUGGUAUGGACACGGACUCUGAUUCCGUACGGUUCGUCACACUUCCUCGUGUAGAGGUCAGCUCCGGAGCGACCCCGUCUGGUCUCUUCCUCUCUGAAUUCCUCAAAGCUCACAUACCACUCGUCAGAGACGCUGUCCACGAGCUCACUCGCUCCAACCCGGUUCGGCUCGCUGGGUUCGUUGUUGAUAUGUUCUGCACCCACAUGAUUGAUGUGGCCGAUGAGUUUGGGGUGCCUUCCUAUCUCUUCUUCCCUCCCAGCGCUGCUUUUCUUGGCUUCCUGUUGCAUCUGCAGUUCCUCCAUGAUUAUGAGGGCUUGGAUAUUAAUGAGUUCAAGGACUCGGAUGCUGAGUUGGAGGUUCCAAGUUUUGCUAACUCAGUUCCGGGUAAGGCCUUUCCUUCUUUGAUGAUUGACAAGGAAAGUAGAGGGGCCGAGAUGCUUCUUCAUCACACGAGGAGAUUCAGACACGUCAAGGGUAUUCUGAUAAAUACAUUUAUUGAGCUUGAAUCACAUGCUAUUCAAUCACUUUCUGGCAGUACAGUACCCGUAGUGUAUCCGGUUGGACCCAUACUCAACACCAGAAGGGGAUCUGAUGGGGGUCAACAAGAUGCUAGUGCCAUCAUGAGCUGGCUUGAUGAUCAGCCUCCAUCAUCCGUGGUUUUCCUGUGCUUCGGGAGCAUGGGAAGCUUUGGUGCGGAUCAAAAUCAAGGAGAUAUCACAUGCGUUAGAGCACAGUGGGCAUCGCUUCUUGUGGUCCCUUCACCAACCUCCCCCAAAGGGUAAAGUGAUUACAAGCGACUAUGAAAAUAUUGAGGAAGUUCUACCAGAAGGAUUUUUACAUCGGACGGCUAGAAUUGGAGGGGCUCCACAAAUAGCGGUUUUAGCCCACUCAGCUGUUGGAGGAUUUGUAUCUCAUUGUGGAUGGAAUUCUUUGCUAGAAAGCAUAUUGUACGGUGUUCCAGUAGCCACAUGGCCAAUAUAUGCAGAACAACAAAUCAACGCAUUUCAAAUGGUGAAAGAUUUGGGGUUGGCGGUAGAAAUUAAAAUUGAUUACAAUAAGGAUCGUGAUCAUAUUGUAAGUGCUCAUGAGAUUGAAAAUGGAUUAAGGAACCUAAUGAAUACUAAUUUUAUUAAAGACAUGGUGGCCAACAUUCCAUGCAAGCAACAAAGACGUGACACCUAAUGUAUGAAUUAUUUUAUAAAAGGUGCAUUGCAGGCUCUAAUAAAUUAAUUUAUCAUAUGCUUUAUUUUAAUGUUCAAAUAAUUUCUUUAAUAAAGUCAAGAAAUUUGACCUUUCAAACUAGGAAAUGUGCUAUCUCUUUAUUAUUUAGUAAAACAAGUUUACAAGGGAAUGAAUUUAGUCAUAUGUCGAUCUCAUUGAUCAAUGAAUACACAAUUGAGCAUUUUCCGGUACUAGUAAUAAAAUUAACUAUAUAAUUAAAAAUCAACAAACCCUAUUGGUUUGAGACAAUCUUCAUAAGUGUUUUUUCUAAAUAUUUUUUAUAUUCUUAUGUGAUUGAAUAUAUUUUGGAUUAUGACUUAUAUGAUUUCUCACAUUUCUAAUCAAAAGCAAUAAUUAAAUCCCAAUAAUCAACCUAUAUGAUAACGGAAUCAGUUUAAAAGUUACUAAUUUAAUAUAUCCUAUUUAUGUACAAAAAAUUGUGAGUAUUGUCCCGAAAUAUGUUUCUAAUAUCAACAUAACAUUUCUUCCUCAUUUUGUUUGGCUAAUGAAAAACCAUUAGAAAAAAAAUAUAUAGAUAUUUGAUUAAAAUGAUUAAAAUAGUCUCUAAUUCGAACAAUGCUCUUUUUUAAAAAAAAAAACAAUAUCGAAAAUGAUAAUAUUUUUUUAAUAAAAAUAUCAUUCAUUUAUGUUAAAGCAAUUUGAAAAAAAGAUAUUUUUAUUCAUUUAUAUUUUUUAUUAAUAAAAAUAUCAUUCAUUUAUGUCAAAGCAUUUUUUUUAUUUAUAAGUAUUAAUAUAUUUUUAUUCAUUUAUAAUUUUUAUUUAGAACUUUAAACCAAUAGAAGAUGGCUUUACAAAUUUUGGCCCAAAGAUCCCCAAGAACUUUAUUUGAAAGGUGUAGCAUAUUCGAACCCUUCGUCCAGGGAACAUGAAUCAUAAUUUCGUUGCUGGUUUUAUAUUAAAAUACAUGGGAUACAUCGAGAAACCCACUUUUGCCUCAAUUUUCAACCAAGACCAACCACAAUCAUAGAAAAACGAUAAGGAAAAUAAAUUGAACCAGCAAAGCCCUGACAUCACUUCCUUUGUCCUCCAAUACUAUCCAGCCACAAGUAUAAGAGUGUCACACCACUGCAAAGCCCUCAAAACAUCCCAUUUUUCCUCUCUUUGCAGUAACUGCUAGUUAGUGAUGGAGCAAACUGAGCUGGUCUUCAUCCCAUUUCCUAUCAUCGGCCACCUUACGUCUGCACUGGAGAUUGCAAAGCUGAUUACUCAGCGAGACCCCCGAUUCUCAAUCACGAUCAUCAUCAUGAAGUUUCCGUUUGAGUCCAUUGAUGGUAUGGACACGGACUCUGAUUCCAUACGUUUCGUUACACUUCCUCCUGUAGAGGUCGGCUCCAGUACCACGCCGUCUGGUUUCUUCCUCUCUGAACUCCUCAAAGCUCACAUCCCAGUCGUCAGAGACGCCAUCCACGAGCUCACUCGCUCCAACUCGGUUCGUCUCGCAGGGUUCGUUAUUGAUAUGUUCUGCACCCACAUGAUUGAUGUGGCCAAUGAGUUUGGGGUGCCUUCCUAUCUCUUCUUCACUUCCAGCGCUGCUUUUCUUGGCUUCCUGUUGCAUCUUCAGUUCCUCCAUGAUUAUGAGGGCUUGGAUUUCAAUGAGUUCAAGGACUCGGAUGCUGAGUUGGAUGUUCCGAGUUUCGCGAUCUCAGUUCCGGGUAAGGUCUUCCCUUCUCGGAUGUUUGACAAGGAAAGCGGAGGGGCUGAGAUGCUUCUUUAUUACACGAGGAGAUUCAGAGAAGUCAAGGGUAUUCUGGUAAAUACAUUUAUUGAGCUUGAAUCACAUGCUGUUCGAUCACUUUCUGGCAGUACAGUACCCAAGGUGUAUCCCGUUGGACCCAUACUCAACACCCGAAUGGGAUCUGGUGGGUGUCAACAAGAUGCUAGUGCCAUUAUGAGCUGGCUUGAUGAUCAGCCUCCAUCGUCAGUUGUUUUCCUGUGCUUCGGGAGCAGGGGAAGCUUUGGUGCGGAUCAGAUCAAGGAGAUAGCAUAUGGGCUAGAGCACAGUGGGCAUCGCUUCUUGUGGUCCCUUCGCCAACCUCCCCCAAAGGGUAAAAUGGAUUUUCCAAUCGACUAUGAAAGUAUUGAGGAAGUUCUACCAGAAGGAUUUUUACAUCGGACAGCUAGAAUUGGAAAGGUGAUUGGAUGGGCUCCACAAGUAGCGGUUUUAUCCCACUCAGCUGUUGG
Molecule: long non-coding RNA, 48509 nt
Filed under: Vitis vinifera (wine grape)
Lineage: Eukaryota; Viridiplantae; Streptophyta; Magnoliopsida; Vitales; Vitaceae
Description: long non-coding RNA (VVIN_LNC003819)
Source: RNAcentral